UAUCCUACGAUCUUGUUCGCGUGUUUUAAAUUGUUGUAUAGUAGUACUUUUUAUUGGCAAAAUGCAGUUCCCAGUGUUGUACACUUAGGUCCAUGAUACACGUUUCAGAAUAGCCUUGUAAAUCUGAUUAUUUAGUCUGGCCUUAACCAUGUUAGUGUGCAACAGAAGCGCAACAAUUUUGGCUCUGAGAAUUCAUGUGGGAGCUUCAUAGUCCUCUCUAAUUGUACUUUCUUUAUGUCACAUUUCUGUCUAAUCGUGUUUGCUUUAUGCUUGGAUAAUAUAAUGUUUUCUUCAUACACAUCCCAAGUUGUACAUUGAAUUUGAUGGACUAUUUUGCUAGCCAGCUCGACUUGUGAUACUGAUGUCAAGAUUCUUUUAGGAUUGUAAGGCGAAGACUGGGAAACAAAAUGGUUUGUCAAGUCAUAAGAGGAAUAGGAAUAGCAAUGGGGCAGUGCGGGUGCGGGUUUGAACGUUAGCGGACGGUGUGGGUUUGAGAUUUUUGCAGUUGCGGGGCGGGUUCAAUUUUAUAUUAAAAAAAUAUGCAGGGCGGGUCGCGGGUGGGGAUUAAGUUUGACGUUCCCUGUUGCAACAUUCAACAUUUCCUUCUGCUCUUUGGCCUUCUGCACUCAGGUUUGUAACAUAACAUUUCCUUUAUUUUUCCCAAGUUCAGCCAAAAAUAAAUACUCUUAAGAAGAAAACGAAUAUAAAUAAUUUUUACAGUGUGUCUUUAUUUUAUUUAAUGUAUUUUUGCUAGUGAAUCGGUGAUUUAUGCGAUUUGAGGGUGGAGUUUAUUGUUCUAUAGGAAAAACCACUAGAUUUAGAGGCAAAAGAUGGAAAUUUAAGAACAAUAUGGACGUAAUUAAUUAUUUUGUUAAAAAAAUCAGAUUUAAGUCUAGCUUUCUAAAAAGAAAGAAUUAAAAAAAUUGUGGGUGCGGGACGGGCUGGACGGGUGAACGCGGGUGGAGUGCGGGGUAGAUGAAUGCGGGUUUAACUCCUAUGCGGGGCGGGGCAGGACGAGUUUAAAUUUUGCGGGUUUAGACAAGACCCGCCCCGCCCUGCCUGCCAUUCCUAAAGAGGAAUAUCAGCAAUAAAAUUGGAAAAGCCUGAGAGCCAUAUGCUACAACAACAACAACAAAACUAGUGUAAUUUCACAAAGUGGGAUCUAGAGGAAGAGUAGAUUGUGCGCAAAUCUUACAGUAGACCUCUGGCUCAAAGUAAAAGUAAAAGAAGCACACACCACACAUAGUAACAUUAAUAAAAUAAAGUGAUAGAAUAGUCGAAGCGAAAGGAUCAACGUAUAGUAAAAGAAACAUACGGAAAAAAAAGUACGAAAAUAAGAGAUUAAGGGUGUGUUUGGUAUGAAGGAAAACAUUUUCCGGAAAAUAUUUUUCAAUAUUCCCAAGUUUGGUUGAUUUAAAUAUUUUGAAAAAUAUUUUCCUUAACAAUUUAUAUUCCUCCAAUUGGAGGAAAAUGUUUUCCUUAUCAAGAGAAGGAAAAAUAUUUUUCAGACCUCCUUCUCAACCUUCCCCACACUCAUUAACGCACCCCAUCCCCUCUCCAAAAAAAGACAUUUUUUUAAAAUUUCAGUUUUUCUAAUACCCCCCCNNNNNNNNNNNNNNNNNNNNNNNNNNNNNNNNNNNNNNNNNNNNNNNNNNNNNNNNNNNNNNNNNNNNNNNNNNNNNNNNNNNNNNNNNNNNNNNNNNNNNNNNNNNNNNNNNNNNNNNNNNNNNNNNNNNNNNNNNNNNNNNNNNNNNNNNNNNNNNNNNNNNNNNNNNNNNNNNNNNNNNNNNNNNNNNNNNNNNNNNNNNNNNNNNNNNNNNNNNNNNNNNNNNNNNNNNNNNNNNNNNNNNNNNNNNNNNNNNNNNNNNNNNNNNNNNNNNNNNNNNNNNNNNNNNNNNNNNNNNNNNNNNNNNNNNNNNNNNNNNNNNNNNNNNNNNNNNNNNNNNNNNNNNNNNNNNNNNNNNNNNNNNNNNNNNNNNNNNNNNNNNNNNNNNNNNNNNNNNNNNNNNNNNNNNNNNNNNNNNNNNNNNNNNNNNNNNNCCCCCCCCGCAAAAAAAAUAUUUUUUUACCUUAAUUUUUUUUGAUAUUUUAAAUUUUUAAUUUUUUUUAUUUUUCUGCACCCCCUCCCCCGUAAAGUAAAAUAUUUUUUUACCUUAAUUUUUUUUUACAAUUUUAAAUUUCUAUUUUUUUAUUUUUUUGCACUAUCCUCCCCCCUCCUCCUUGAAAAUUUUUUUACCUUUUUUUGUAAUUUUUUUUUUUGGUUUUAGAAAUUAUAAAGUUUACGGGUUCAAAAUUUUGCGAUUUUGAAUGUUUAGCGGUUCGAAGGUUUAUGAAAUUUGUGAGUCCAGAAGGUUGUUACUUUGAAAGUUUAUUGCUUCAUGUUUAUUAUAUUUAAAUUAUUUAUAAAUACUCUUGAGGAGUUAUUUUCCUUAAUUUGCAUACCCAACACUCGAAAAUAAAUAAGAUUACUAUUUAUUAUUUUCUUAAAAAAUAUUUUCCACGAAAAACAUUUUCUACGAAAAGCAUUUUCUACGAAAAACAUUUUCCGUUAUACCAAACACACCCUAAUACUAAUGUUACCGACAGGAAAAUAAGACACUCUCGCCUCUCUACUGACCUGAGAGCUAAAUACAAGUCAGAAUAUAUUAAAAAUAAUGACUUCUAUGGGACCAAAUAGUGUCGGUAGAGUGUGAGAGUUACUAAUGCAAUGGCACUUGAUAGUAUGUCAUCUUCAGAUCUGUCCCCCACAGGUCCAUGAUCACUAGUACUGCCUUUCAAUUUUUUUCAUUUAAAUUCUCACUCCACCUAAGUCAAUAAAUAAUACCCUUCAUGUGAUUUUAUUUCAACAAAUUUAGAUGUAAUUAAUGAACUGACCUUAAUAUAUCUUGAUUUUUGCUUAAGAUUAGUGUAUUGAAAAUAUAGAUUAGUUAACUAUAAAUGGAGAAAGGAAUCAAAAGUAACUUCCUACUAAAUUCUUUAUUCCUCCAAAGUAACAUGCAGCAUUAUGCCGAUCUACCUUAAAUUCUUUUGAGCCAACAGUCCAUUUUUAGAAAUAAAAAAAGUUGUUGUCGGUCACAUUAGAUGACUAUUACACAUUCACACUUAAAUUCUUUUGAGCUAAUCUUUAUUUGUGAAUCUAUUCAAGGCAUAGACAAAAUUGUCAUUAUAAUUGUCCUUCCCUACUUAUAAAAUGGUAUUACUAGAUCUUUUGGAAAACCUGAUGGGAUACGAUGUAGACAGACGAGUCAAUACCUCUUAUUUUUAUAUAUGGGAAAAUAGAUUCCUAUAUUGUUGUAUGUUGUGUUACUAUUUCACAAAUUACUUGAAAUAAAACUAGAAAUAUAAAAUAGUGCACUUUUGGCAUUCAAACAGUCGACUGAAUGGGCAUUUCGACAUAAUAAGUGUAAAAUUUCGGAAAAGGUAGAAUGUUUUUUUCAAGUGAAAAUGAUAUUUGAAAAAAUAGAGUUUUGUUUGGAUAUCAAUAUAAUUUUGGUUUAUUUUUAAAUUUUUGUGAAUGAUUUGAGUGAAAAUUUUAAAAAAUAGCUGUAUAGAUCAAAAUCUAGCCCCCCCUCCCCCGGAUCACGCCCAAAGUAUGCCCUCUAAAAAGGACUCUGCGGACGUUGCAAAUAAAACCCAAAUAUUAUGCCUAGGGUCGAAACCACAUAGAGUUAACCUAUCAAAUACCACCUUAAGACCCACUCAAAUUCUCAAGACCAGCUUCCCAGAACUUUCGAAUCACAGUUGGAGGUUUAAUUACUAACUAAUAUUUGGAGUAAACUAACAAGCUGAAAUUAGACUAACUAAAGUUGUAAACAAUAUGAGAGAGAGAUGCAAAAUAUUGAAGCCCAAAUUUUUGCUAUGCGAUCGCAGGAUAAAUAAUGAGAUUGUAUAGAAUAUGAGAGAGAGAUGCUAAGGUCAAGACUUUCCCUAUUGAUGGAAUCCCUCUUGUUUAUACUUCAUACAAAUUUACCAACAGUUCUAUAUCAACAAUAAACACUUAGCUUAUCAUGAAUUUCUUCCCAAUAAUCAUAAUAAUAUAUUAUUGCACUCUCCCGAGCUACACUAGCUAGCUUUAGUUAAACAAUUCAUUUAAUAUUGCACCAAAGCUUUGUUAUUCCUAAACCCGCCUUUAAACCCGUAGUUAUAGAUUCCUCUUAUUACUUUAGGAGUGGUGUUAUUCAACAACUACUUAAGCAUGCACUCUUUUCCAAGUUAUGCACACUAAAUAAGCACAUCUAGUUGAGGAUCCUGUCAAUUAACUACAACAAAAACAUAGUUGAAUAAAUAUAGAUUAAAACAGGCAAAACUAAUUGAGGAUCUUGUCAAUUAACUACAACAAGAACAUAGUUGAACAAAUAUAGAUUAAAACCGGCAAAUUUGCAUUAACAUAAACUAGAAGUUCUUCCCUCAAUAGGUUCCAUCAAGACCUUAGACAAAGGAUUUAGCUGCUCAUAAUUAUGGAUAAACAAAAUAAACUAAGAUUCAACAUAAUAAAAAUCAAAGGGAAAGAAGAAAUAGGUUUGAGCUAUUCUCACACACUUAUUUUUCCUUCCAAGAACUCAAAAUAAUCAAUACAUGCCUCUCUUGGCGAAACCUACGGACUAAUAUAGGUCUUAGGGCUUAAUUCCACGUUUUUCCACAUUUACCCCUUGCCAGUCACACGCCUUCUCUUUGGACGAAACAUAGUGACUAAUAUAGGUUUUAGGGCUAAAAUUUCACGUUUUGGACACAAUUGCCCUUGACCUUUCGCACGCCUACCGCGGUUCUACCGCAUUCGCGGUUCAAACGACCCCUCUGAAAUAAACGUAAUCUGCAGUUGUAUCCCAUCGCGGUUCUGCCGCGGUCGCGGUAGAACUGCGGUAGGCGACCUUCUCUGAAAUCUGGACCUGUUUUUGACGCGGUUUGGUUGUGAGUUUGCAUGGUUGGCCUCUUUUCUUCAUUUUCUCGACUCAAAAAGUACUUCUCGCCUUCCUAGUUGUUUAUAGCCUGAAAAACACAAAAAACGCCCAUAAGAGUAUUUUUGCUAACACUUUUAAUAUCAAAACAGUACAAGAAGGUGGUUAUUUAAGACCUGAAUAUAGUUAAAUUCACCUAUUAUCAACAUCCCACACUUAAACCUUUGCUCGUCCUCGAGCAAGCUAAACCACACUUCCAGACCUAACCAAUUGAUGCAUUACCCAAAGUUAUGUCACACCCGCCACAGACCAACCUUAAAAAUGUAACAACCAUCCCCAAGAUGCAGACUCUAUUAACAUGACACAAUCAACCUCACUCUAUUUACUCUAUAUAGAUGAAGCCUCACUUUUUCUUCCUGAGUUACAUGCCCUUACAUCAACAUUCUGAGAGAAGUUCCACACACAUAUAACUUGAAUACAAGGAACUAAAGAUAGAAAGAAUUCCCUCACUCUCAGCAAAGAGCAUUCGCAUGCCACACAGACACACCAUAAGCUUGCCCCUAGUGUAGUACUUUACUAAUCGAGCUGUUUCAGUCAAAGAUCAAGAGGUCUUGAGUUGGUUGUAAUGUAGGCUAAGGAACGAGUAUGAUACAUUUGGAUAUAGUGACUAACCUCCCUAUCACUUUUAAUACAUACUUCCCUUUUUCUUAUACGUUUUCAUGUUCAGCCCCCACUCAUUCCUCCACGUUUUUAUUUCAUAGUUGUCCCAUACUUUUCUUCAGGUGCACUGGCCUCUUAUUUUCUAUAUCUCUCUUUUUCUUUUUCCUUUUUUUUUCUUUCUUUUGCUUUGUUUUCGUGUCUCUCUUUUUGUUUUUUUCUACAAGACCACUGCAUCAUUCAUUUUAUUCAUUCUUGAUUUUCCCUUUUUCGCUACUCCCUACCACCCCACACUUUGACUUUUUAUAUUCUGCAUUAAUUCAAGUGCUUCUAGGAGGUACAGGUUCAAGCAACUUAUUCAAACUCAGGGAUAUUGUUCAUUACAGUGUUACCAAAGAAUAUGCUUCAGGUUCAAAGGGGUUAACUAUGGACAUAUGUACAGGUGGAUUCACAAGAUUUAUAUAAGGGUUUAAAAAAAGAAAUGCCUCAAUCAUCUCUAAGACCUAACAACUUCUAUUUCUCUUUGCAAACACACUGGGCAAAUUCUAGGUAUCACAUGCAAGCACGGAAAACAGGUAAAACCUCACAGUCACAUAGCAUGUAACUCAUUCCGAAUUAGUUCAUCAACACACACAUACGAGCUUUCAAGCAAGAAUAGAUUUGCAAAAUUAAGGCAUAGAAUUACAAGCCUACAACUGAGCCUAACCAUCACACUCUUAAGCUCAUUUUAAUAAGUUGCAGGUGUCAACAUCAGGGGUCGCAAUCUAGCCUUUACCCAUUUUAGUCCUAAACUACAAAAGGAAAAAUCUACCUAACCCGGUUCAAGCAAAACCCUUAAAAAAGAACCGCGGUCAAAAGAAAAACCAAGGGGGAAUUACUACACUACCUAAAAAGGAAAAAUAAAAUAAGAAAAAGUAUCUACAUGGACUACUUCCCUCAAGAGUACUNNNNNNNNNNNNNNNNNNNNNNNNNNNNNNNNNNNNNNNNNNNNNNNNNNNNNNNNNNNNNNNNNNNNNNNNNNNNNNNNNNNNNNNNNCCCUCAAAAGUACUUGUCCAAGUGGUCUUUCAUCAGGAAGAGCCCUCUAACUAUGUUUUUGUUGUUGUUGUUGUUUUUUUUCCAGUUAUAUCUAAUACCGACUUUGACCCUCAAGAGACCCGUUGACAAGUGUCCGUCGUUGGGCCAAGUCAUCUAUAUCUAAUAAAAUCAUACUCAGCUAUGUACAACCAUUAUCUAAGACUAAAACACCAGCAAUAUUUAUACACAAUACAACAUACAGGCAGAGCAAGUCUCCCACCCCACACUUAAAUUAUGGCAAGUCCUCAUGUCAUAUACAACAAGUAAAGAGCAGAAGGGUAAGAAGACUUCCCUGACUCAAUCCGAUUCGGAGACGUUGGAGGGGUCUACAUGGCAGGCUCUCCCCAAUGCACGUAGCCAUGACAUUAAUCGUCCCUUUGACCGGGCCUGCCUCUACGACAUGGCAUCAAGCCGUGUGUGGAUACCAUCAACUGAGGUGCGCAGAUCUACGACCUUUUCUUCCAUUGAACGUAACAUUGGCCUAGUAGAUUGGGACCUGGAGAAACCUACCCCUGUAUGGGGUCGACGAGAUGGUCCGACACUAUCAACUGACCGUCUGGACAGUGCGAAGGGAUUCGGGUUUCAUCAUCAUCAUCAUCAAUUUCAAUUGUCUGUGGCCCCUGCCCACUCUGAUACGGGAGGCUCGGAAAGGUGCCUCAGGUUCCAAGGUCCUGUCAGUAGGAUUAGUGGGAACAUUCUUUCUUAAGCAUAGCUGAGUCACCAAUGAUGGGAAGUAAAACCCUUUUGACUGCAACGGUCCCCUCAAAGUCAUCUCAUCACUAAUAACCUUAGCUGCGUCAAAAUCUCUCUUGGUGAUGAAGCACCAAGUCAGUAGGGCCCUAUUGAAGUUCACAUCUGUCGUGUUACUAGACGGCAGAAACCUGCUGCAAAUCACUAUCAACUAACACUUAGCCAAGUGCGUGAGAGAAUAGGAGUGCAAAGUGAUCUGAUCCUUUAUCCACGUCGGUCUCCCCAGCACAAAUAUCGGCGAUCAUGACCUACCACGUGACAUCCGGUCGAUCGUGGUAAUAGUCAAUCUCGCCUUUGAACUUAGGCAGCUGCAAAGCCAGGCGGAUAUGGUGAAUAUAAGUAGGAACAAUCUUAUCUCGCACAAUGAGAUCCCGAGCUAGGUUCGCAGGGCAGUUCGCAUAGAACUCCCUCACAAUCAUCUUGUUGACCGGGAAGGGAUCAGCAAGUAGGAAUUCCAUCUGCCUCUUCCGGAUUUCCUCAUACAUAUCUUCCCUUUCUGAGAUGAGGGCUACUCGGUCAAUUGGAAUCUCAGGAAUGAAGUUUUUGUGCGCUUUUGCAUUAACAUCGUCCUCGGCUUGUUUCCGAGACGAACCGUGACUCAUCAUAAGUUGGUUGGCGAGAUGGACUAGCCUGUCUCCUCUGUCUCUUAGGAGCCAUAGUACCUGCAGAGAUCACACACAACCCAUUAAAUUAAGCCCAAACAGAGCCAACCUGGUGGUUACUCAAACUUCACCACCCGAUGGCUACAACAUAACAUCUCCCUUAUUAUCACCCCACACGUGCUCCUUUACCAUGGUACCACCAAUUAGAGUCCCCAUACAUUACCUAAUAAUAUACCUCACAAUUAUCACACCCCACAACACCACAACCACUCCACCAUUUUGGCCACACAAGGCCUUACACUAAACACAUCCUUCGAGCAAAAAUUAUAGGCCUCCAAAAUAUUUAUAAUGGAGGCCUAACCAGUUAAGCACGCAAUGAUCCACUAGAACAACCACAAUCAUAUACAAACAUCAACUAACAAGUAUAACAAGAAUUGAAAUUAGUUCUAUCUAGGGUUAACUUAAUCAAACUAUGAUAUAUUACACUAAAUUAGUAGUUAAAAUAAAGAGAAAUAAAGAGGAACUUACAAGGGUUGAGGAUGGGAGAGGGUUUGGGAAAGCUGGUGGAGAACUUGGGUGAGUUAAGAGUGUUGUUGGAGAGAAAAAUUGAGAAAGAAGAGAGAAUUUUUUUUAGAGAAGUGAAGAGAGAGGAAAUAUUUUGCUGGGGGGGGGGGGUUUNNNNNNNNNNNNNNNNNNNNNNNNNNNNNNNNNNNNNNNNNNNNNNNNNNNNNNNNNNNNNNNNNNNNNNNNNNNGGGGGGGGGGGGUUUAGUUUUCAGAUUUUUGGGGUUAAAGGGGUAGGUGGGGGUAAUAUGGGGAAAAUUGGGAAUUUAAAACGGUUAGGAAAAUUAAAAAAAAAACUUACCUGGCUGAAAAAUGCGGUCACCGCGGUUCUACCGCGGUCGCGGUCGGACCGCGAUAGACCAAGUUCAGAGAGCCUCACGUACCGCGGUCGCGGUGGGACUGCGGUAGACCAAGUUCAGAGAGCCUCGCAUAUCGCGGUUUAACCACGAUCACGGUGGGACCGCACGAGUAUGUAUCAGCGUGGGGUCUCUACUGCGGUGCAACUGCGGUCUGGCCCAUCUGCAGAAUCUGAUCUCUUUUUAUAUGAUUACAAGUACAACAAUAUUGUGGGUUGCCUCCCACGCAGCGCCUGAUUUAACGUCGCGACAUGACUUAGAUGAGUGCAUGUACGACUCGCUUAACCUCUGAGGCUCAUUCAAGUGAAGCGCAGUUCCUUGCUUUAAUUCGUUCAUUCCCAUGUACAAUUUCAACCACUGACCAUUGACUCUAAAUGUGCGAGAGUCAUCCUCAGAAGCAACUUCAACAGCUCCAGACGGGAGGACUUCAACCACCCGAAAUGGUCCAGACCAUUGUGAUUUUAUCUUAGCCAUGUAAAACCGCAAUCUUGAGUUAUAUAACAGUACCCUGUCCCCAGAUUUUAAGGUUCACUCCACAAUGUGCUGAUCAUGUAGCCUCUUCAUUCUUUCUUUUUACAGUCUCGUGCUCUCAAAAGCAAGAUGUCAGAACUCAUCCAACUCAUGCAAUUCUGUGAUCGUAGAUGAGCCUGCUACCUCCAUGUCAAUAUUUAGCUGUUUCAGUGCCCACCACGCUCUGUGCUCAAGUUCUAUCGACAGGUGACAGGCCUUGCCAAACACCAACUUGUAUGGAGACAUACCAAUUGGUGUUUUGAAUGUUUUUCUAUACGCCCAGAGUGCAUCAUCUAACUUUCUUGCCCAAUCUGUUCUUGUAGUGAUUACUGUUUUUGUCAACACACUCAUAUCUCUAUGUUGGAGACCUCCACAUGUCCACUAGUUUGCGGGUGGUACGCAGUAGCCACCUUGUGGCGCACAUCAUAUUUUGCCAACAACUUCUCAAAUGCUCUGUUGCAGAAAUGAGUGCCCCUGUAACUUAUUAUCGCCCGUGGUGUCCCAAAGCGGGUGAAUAUGUUUUUCUUCAGAAACCCCACAACCACCUUUGCAUCAUUGGUGGGUAAUACUGUCACUUAUUAUUGCAUGUGGUGUCCCAAAGCGGGUGAAUAUAUUUUUCUCCAGAAACUCCACCACCACUUUUGAAUCAUUGGUGGAUAAUGCUACAACUUCCACCCACUUGGACACAUAAUCCACAACAACAAGAAUGUACUUAUUGCCGUAAGAGCUAACGAAGGGACCCAUGAAAUCUAUCCCCCAAACAUCAAAUACUUCAACCUCCUGAAUUGGGUUUAUGGGAAUCUCGUGGCGCCGGGAGAUGUUCCCGGUGCGUUGAAAUUCAUUACAAAUAUUUACCCAUGUGUGAGCAUCUUUGAACACUGUUUGCCAGAAAAAUCAGGCCUCACGCACCUUUGCUGCAGUUCUCACUCUUCCAAAGUGUCCCUCAUAAGCCGAUGCAUGACAUGCCUGCAAAAUAGAAGAUUGUUCCAUCUCGGAGACGCAUCUCCGGAUCAUGUUAUCCAGGCAUAUUCUAAACAGAUAGGUCUCAUCCCAAUAGUACAUACGGCUUUCACGAAAGAACUGCUUCCUCUGGACCGAAGACAGGUCGUGAGGAGCUAUACCACAAGCUAGGUAGUUGGAAAAAUCCGCAUACCAUGGUGCUUCUAGAUGGUUAGCCACGAGCAAUUGCUCGUCUGGAAAGGUUCCAGAAUGUCCUCAACCUCAAUUAUGUUUUCAGCUCCCUCAAGUCGUGAUAGAUGAUCAACAAUUUGGUUCUCGGUGCCCUUUCGGUCACGUAUCUCAAGGUCAAACUCCUGUAGCAACAACACCCAACGAACCAGGCGUGUCUUAGAGUCUUUCUUCUCUAUCAGGUAUCUAAGAGCUGCAUGGUCAAUGUAUACAAUUACCUUCUGUCCUAUCAAGUAGGACCGGAACUUGUCAAAUGCAAACACCACAACAACAUCUCCUUGUCGGUCCAAGUGUAAUUCAGUUGGGCCCCAUUCAGCGUUCUACUAGCAUAGUAGAUUGGAUGCAUCAAUUUGUCCUUCCUCUGGCCCAGCACUGCCCCCUGCAUAGUCACUAGCAUCACACACUAGCUCGAAAGGUUGCUUCUAGUUGGUGGCAAUAGUGAUUGGUGUUGUGACCAGCCUUUGUUUCAGCUCCUCAAAAGCGACCCUGCAAGCAUAAGAAAAUACAAACUGGUUAUCUUUUUCUAAAAACUUAAAGUGAGGGUUGGCGAUUUUGGAGAAGUCGUUAGUGAACCGUCGGUAGAAAUCGGCAUGUCCAAUAAAGCUUCUGAUUGCUUUUACCGAAGUUGGCGGAGGCUGCUUUGCUAUGACAUUGACUUUGGAUCUAUCUACCUCUAUUCCAUUUCUUGACACUCGGUGCCCCAAGACUAUGCCUUCUUGUACCAUGAAAUGGCACUUCUCCCAGUUCAGCACCAGAUUAUUCUCGAUGCACCUUUUCAACACACGUGUCACAUUCACAAGACACUCAUCAAACAAAUUCCCCACCACCGAGAAAUCAUCCAUGAAAACCUCCAUAAUGUCUUCAACCAUAUCAGUGAAAAUGGCCAUCAUGCACCGUUGGAAUGUGGCGGGUGCAUUGCAAAGUCCAAAGGGCAUCCUCCUGGAGGCAUAUAUGCUGUAGGGGCAAAAUAAGGUCUUCUCUCAGUCCUUAGUGCAUUAGAGGUAUGGUCGUACCCUGAGUACCCAUCGAGGAAGCAAAAGUGCGACUCCCAGCCAGUCUGUCCAACAUCUGGUCAAUGAAGGGAAGUGGAAAGUGGUCUUUCCGGGUGGCAAGAUUCAGCUUUCUAUAAUCCAUGCAUAUCCUCCAGCCAGUGACGAUUCUAGUAGAGAUUAGCUCGUUAUUGUCAUUCUUCACCACCGCCAUGCCACCCUUAUUAGGCACACACUGAACUGGGCUAACUCAGCUGCUGUCAGAGAUGGGAAAGAUGAUUCCUGCAUCUAACCAUUUAAUUACCUCCUACUUCACCACUUCCGUCAUGUUUGGAUUCAGCCUCCUUUGAUGUUCCCUGGAAGGUCUGUGUCCCUCUUCCAGCAGAAUCUUAUGCAUACAAUAGGCGGGGUUGAUCCCCUUGAUAUUUGCCAUGGUUCAUACGAUGGUAGUUUUGCAGUCCUUCAGUACCUGUAAAAGCUGUUGCACCUGCACAUCUAGCAAACCAGAUGAGAUAAUAACAGGUAAAGUGGAGUUUGGACCCAGAAAUUCAUACCUGAGGUGAGCUGGCAAUGGCUUUAGCUCCAGCUUCGGUGUUCUUCAAUUGACGGUUUAGCCGGAGAACUCUCUCUCUUUUCCUAAUACCUGAGGUAUGCUGGCAAGGGCUUUAGCUCCAGCUUCGUUGUUCUUCAAUGGACGGUUUAGCUGGAGGACUCUCUCUUUUCUCCAAAUGUAGGGGUUCAAAUUCAAGCUUUCUAUCUCAGAACCCCUUACCUUCCAACGCCAACACCCAUUCUGCCAACUCCUCACCAUUAGCCUCCUCCAAAUUUGACAGACAUGCAGCCAAGGGAUCCUCCACCGGCAAUAUAUCAUCAUCAGACUGCACUAUGAUGUCUACAACAUCAUUGAGAGAGCAAUUAGCGAACUCACUUGGACGUCUCAUCGAUUUUUGCACAUUAAAAAUAAUCUCUUCAUCAUUGAGCCUCAUUUUAAGCUCCCCAGUUUCACAAUCAAUCGAGGCUCUCCCAGUUGCUAAGAGUGGUCUUCCUAAAAUGAUAGGAAUUUCCUCUUCUACUUUGCAAUCCAAGAUUACAAAAUCUGCAGAAACACGAAUUUCCCCACCUGAAUAAGAACAUCAUCUAGGAUCCCAAAUGAACGCGUUACAGUCCUGUCAGCCAGCUGCAAUAACAUAGGGGUGGGUCUAGCUCUCCUGAUGCCCAACCUCUUGUAAACAACCAAGGGCAUAAGAUUAAUGCUGGCCCCUAAGUCACAGGGCGCCCUUGAAAAUGCAUAAUUCCCAAUAGUGCACGGGAUGGUAAAACUCCCCGGAUCAGAGAUAUUUUCAGCAACCGGUCUAGUUACCACUGCACUACAAGUCUGCAUGAGAGUCACUGUGGCCAAGUCUUGGAAGUCAAACUUCCGAGACAUAAAAUUUUUCAUCAUCUUUGCGUACCCAGGCAUUUCCUUUAAUGCUUCAAUCAAUGGAAUCUUUACCUGAAUUUGUUUGAGCAUGUCAAAGAACUUCUUGUAUUGCUCUUCCUUUUGGUGCUUGGACAAUAUCUAUGGGAAUGGUUCAUGGGGUCUUUUCUUCCCAAUUACUUGGGACUUUUCUUUCUCAACCAUUGCCUCCUCCACUGGCUCUACUACUGUUUCAGCGAUUUCUCACUCUCUUGCUGCACAAUCUGAUUUUCAGGAACAGGCUGGACUGUCACAUCUGUCAGCCUUGUUGAUUCAUCCAGCUCAAUAGGUACCUGAAUGAGUAUCUCAGCCUACCUAUUCUCACGAGCUCUUUCUUGCUCAACAUCAAGAUCUCUACCAUUUCGGAGACUUACCGCCACUAACUGCUUCGGGACCUGAUCUUUGGGGUAGGUCUGAGUUUCUGCAGGCAACGUCCCUUGAGGACGGUUAUUCAAAGACAUAGAAAUCUGUCCCACCUGCACUUCAAUGUUUUUACCAGCCGCCUCGUGUGCAUCUACCCUCUCAUUUAUCUUUGCAUUGGACCCGAUCACUUGCUGCAUCAUUGCUUCUAGCCUAGAGAACCCAUCUUUUUGUCUCCCACCAUGCUGUUGCUGAGGUGGGUGGUACCCUUGCUGCUGAUUAUUAUACCCUUGCAGCCUAGGAUAAGGUGCCAUGUUGUUGGGGGGUCUCAUACCCCAUAUUACCUGCAUUGUAAUGUGGCUGUAGUGGCCUGUACUGCUGCUGAGUUUGCUGGCCCCAGUUCUGAUUACCUUAGGGGGUCUCAUGCCUCCCAUAUUUCCGCCAUUGUAUUGUGGCUGCGGUGGCCUGUACUGCUGCUGAGCAUGUUGGCCCCAAUUCUGGUUUCCUUGCCUCUGACUUCCAUAAUUUGCCACAUAACUCAUAUUUUCAGGUUGCUGAUGAUGAUGGUCAUGCUCCACAUUCCAUGUAUUACCAAUUGGCUGACUGAUGCAAGAUGUGCACAAGACCCCAUUGGUAGUAUCCUCUAUAUGUACCUGCUGCUUUUGUCCCGACUCCUCCACCUUCUUGGUGAGGAUGCUCAUCUGUGUUAAAAGAGUCUCCACAUUCUCAGCCAUGGUGUUGGACGGAUCAAGAGGUACUGAAUGCACCACCGGAGUGAUAGGUGCAUUUCUGGUUGUCCAACCUGAACUCUGAGCCAUUUUAUCCAGCAGCUAUAGUGUUAGAUGGAUCAAGAGACACUGAAUGUACCACCAAAGUGAUAGGUGCGUUUCUAGUUGUCACCCUGAAUUCUGCGCCAUUUUAUCUAGCAGGUUAUGUCCUUCUCUCCAUGUCUUGCUCAAAAAUGCCCCACCAGCUGAGGCAUCCACAAUAUUUUUCAUGCUGUUAGAAAGUCCCAUGUAAAACCGCUAUCCCAACAUCUGCUCUGGAAUACCAUGAUGGGGACACAUCACCAACAUUCCAUUGAAUCUUCCCCAUAUCUCGUGCAAAGUUUCCAUAGGUUUAUGUUUGAAGCUCACAAUCUCAUCAAUUUGCUGUGAUGUUUUGUUGGGCGGAUGGAACUUGUUGUGAAACUGUUUGACUAACUCAUCCCAGGUUUCAAUGGAGUUUAUGGGGAGUGAGUUGAGCCAAAUCUGAGCAGCUCCUAUCACAGAGAAAGGAAACAUUGUCAGAAAGUACCAUGUAAAACCGAUGUCCCAACAUCUGCUAUGGAAUACCAUGAUGGGGACACAUCACCAACAUUCCUUUAAAUCUUCCCCAUGUCUCGUGCAAAGUUUCCAUAGGUUUCUGUUUGAAGCUCACAAUCUCAUCAAUCUGCUGUGUUGUUUUGUUGGGCGGAUGGAACUUGUUGUGAAACUGUUUGACUAACUCAUCCCAGGUUUCAAUGGAGUUUAUGGGCAGUGAGUUGAGCCAAAUCUGAGCGGCUCCUAUCAUAGAGAAAGGAAAUAACAGCAGCCUGAUUGCUUCCGGGGUCACGUUGGGCUGCCUCUGAGUUUUGCAUAUAGACAGGAAAUUCUUUAUGUGUUGUUGAGGGUCUUCUACCCUCGUUCUAGAAAAAAUCCCUUGUUUUGCAACAAGUGCAGCAUAUUAUUUGUAAUCUGGAAUGUCUAGAAAAAAUCCCUUGUUUUGCAACAAGUGCAGCAUAUUAUUUGUAAUCUGGAAUGAUUCAGCCUGUAUCGCUGGCACAACAAUGGCAGUUGCCAAAUUAUCCGAAGUCGGUUGUGCCAGGUCAUAAAGUGCACCCUCUGGCACAAGAGGUGUCGCCACUCCACCAUUUACGUUUACUUGCUCUUUUCUGCCGUCUCCGUUGGGGUCAAUUACGCCGUCCAUUUCAAUGUCGAGUUUGUCUGUCUCUUGAGAUGGUUGAAGUCUUCUGUUAGCACGGUUUAGUGCCCGGAAUAUCUUUUUAGGGAAUGAGAGUCCUUCAAGUAAUUCUACAGUCUUUGUAGAGUUUCUAGGCAUACAUCUGUGCCACCAAGUCAACCGUCAAAAGUUUCAAUCAAAAUUGGGUGUAAAGAAACUAGCUACACCAAGUUUUUUUUAACUCUAGCAAUGACAAUUGAUAAUUACGUUAACUCCCCGGCAAUGACGCCGAAAUUUGAUCACUCCCAAAGUAUGCCCUUUAAAAGGACUUUGCGGACGUUGCAAAAAAACCCAAGUAUUAUGCCUAGGGUCAAAUCCACAGAGAGUUAACCUAUCAAAUACCACCUUAAGACCCACUCAAAUUCUCAAGACCAGCUUCCCAAAACUUUCGAAUCACACUUGGAGGAUUAAUUACUAACUAAUAUUUGGAGUAAACUAACAAGCUAAAAUUAGACUAACUAAAGUUGUAAACAGUAUGAGAGAGAUGCUAACGUCAAGACUUUCCCUAUUGAUGGAAUCCCUUCUGUUUAUGCUUCAUACAAAUUUACCAACAGUUCUAUAUCAAAAAUGAACUUAGCCUAUUAUGAAUUUCUUCCGAAUAAUCACAAUAAUAUACUAUUGCACUCUCCCGAGUUACACUAGCUAGCUUUAGUUAAACAGUUCAUUUAAUAUUGCACCAAGGCUUUGUUAUUCCUAAACCCUCCUUUAAACGCGCAGUUAUAGAUUCCUCUUAUUACUUUAGGAGUGGUGUUAUUCAACAACAACUUAAACAUGCACUCUUUUCCAAGUUAUGCACACUAAAUAAGCACAGCUAAUUGAGGAUCCUGUCAAUUAACUACAACAAGAACAUAGUUGAACAAAUAUAGAUUAAAACCGGCAACCUUUCAUUAACAUAAACUAGAAGUUCAUCCCUCAAUAGGUUCCAUCAAGACUUUAGACAAAGGAUUUAACUACUCAUAACUAUGGGCAAACAAAAUAAACUAAGAUUCAACAUAAUAAAAAUCAAAGGGAAAGAGAAAAUAGGUUUGAGCUAUUCUCACACACUUAUUUUUCCUUCCAAGAACUCAAAAUAAUCAAUACAUGCCUUCUUUGGACGAAACAUAGUGACUAAUAUAGGUUUUAGGGCUAAAAUUUCACGUUUUGGACACAAUUGCCCUUGACCUUUCGCACGCCUACCGCGGUUCUACCCGGGAGAAACCUAGUGACUAAUAUAGGUUUUAGGGCUAAAAUUUCACGUUUUGGACACAAUUGCCCUUGACCUUCCGCACGCCUGAUAGAACCGCGGCCAAACGACCCCUCUAAAAUCAAUGUAAUCUGCAGCUGUAUCCCACCUCGGUUCUGUCACGGUCGCGGUAGAUCUGCAGUAGGCGAUCUUCUUGAAUUCUGGACCUAUUUUUGACGUGGGAGUUUGCAUGGUUGGCCUCUUUUCUUCAUUUCCUUGACUCAAAAAGUACUUCUCGCCUUCCUAGUUGUUUAUAGCCUGAAAAACACGAAAAGCACCCAUAAGAGCAUUUUUGCUAACACUUUUAAUAUCAAAACAGUACAAGAAUUUAUGGGUACAGGACGUUAUCAGGGAAGCUACGACCUGUCUAUCAUUGCACGAGCCAUACAUCGGCGUGGUCACAACCAUUUAUCGCCAACUCAUCCGAUUUACACCUAUAAAUACUAAGAAAAAGAACCUUAAAGGGGGCUUCUUCUUCUUCACCACUUCUCCCAAGAAAAGGGGAACACACAACAAUACCCUACGAGAGGCAUAAAGAACACCAUUGUAAGGCGUUGAACCUCUCUACGAGAGGCAGACCAAACUAAUAUCAUCAAUAAAAAGCUCUUCACAUAUUUCUCCUUAAUUUCAAAAGCUUGCCUUUCUUUUAUUUCGUUUGGUCUCUUGAUUUAUUACGAUCUGCUAUGAUUGGCCCUCAAUUUAUCGUGAUUGUUUUAUGCUUAUAAAGUGUGUGAGAACUUUGGGAUAAAUAAUUUGCCGCCGUCUGUGGGAUUUCAUAGCAGAAUCCGGUAGUUCUUUCUUGGACCAAAAGGAAAGAACUGCCAGAAAAGUAACCCCGCUCGCACAAGCCAGAGCAGCAUGUCGGGUAAAAGGAAGAAGAAGUACAAGAGGAAGCAAAAGUUAGUCCCCUCCCCACGGGGAUAGCACAUAUAAGGUACCCUCACCUCCCCGAUACAGGAUCCUGCCAAAAGAAAAAAUGGCACAAAGGCAUCUCGAAUCGAGAUCCAUAACAGGGCAACCUUUACAAACCCUCCCCGAUACAGGAUCCUGCCAAAAGAAAAAAUGGCACAAAGGCAUCUGGAACCGAGAUCCAUAACGGGGUAACCUUUACAAACUAGUCGAAAAGACUACACACAAAUCGUGCAAGAUCUCAAAUUAAAGCCAAUCUCAAACACCCUACACACAGUGGGUUAUAUGAGAGGAAAAAGUUUAAUUACAAGUUGAAUUGGGACUCAGGCCAUGCGCCUUCGCCAUAAAAAAUUACAAGAUUCAAUCACAGUUGAACAACGAAUCAGGCUACGUGCCUUCACCGAAAGUUAAACUGGGACUCAGGCCAUGCUCCUUCGCCAUAAAAAAUUGCUAGAUUCAACUACGGUUGAACAACGUCUAAGGCUACAUGCCUUCACCAAAAGUUCAACUACAUGUUGAACUGGGACUCAGGCCAUGCGCCUUCGCCAUAAAAAAUUGCAAGAUUGAACCACGGUUGAACAACGACUCAGGCUACGUGCCUUCACCAAAAGUUCGACUACAAGUUGAACUGGGACUCAGGCCAUGCGCCGUUGCCAUCAAAAAUUGUAAGAUUCAACCGCGGUUGAACAAAGACUUAGGCUACUUGCCUUCACCGAAAGUUCAACUACAAGUUGAACUAGGACUCAGGCCACACUCCUUCGCCAUCACGAGCCCAAUAUCGAUCAAACAAUAAGGCCGAACGCCUUCGUCCACAAGUCUAAAGAGUUCAACCCUGUUUGAGCCAAAACUCAGGCCAGAUUCCUCCACCAUUGGACGCAGCAAGGCCUACCCCACAACGGAUAGAGAGACAAGUUAAGCUCCCUCACCAUUCAACUAAGUACGCCCAACUCGAACUAAAAUUCGGGCCACGUAAAGUUCGGCCCCGGUCGAAACACAAGGCCACUUUUCUUACUAUCGCGGCCAAUAGUUUGACCACGCCCGAACUGGAACUGAGGCUAAGUGCCGCUAUCGCCAAAUAAUGGCCACAACGUGUUUACACCAAGUAAAAGAAAACGAUAAGCAAAAAAUGCUUAAUCAUGGCCAAAGCCAUCACCGCUAAACAACCAACCUAGUUUCUGACUAAGGCAAGAAAAUGACCCGACAACAGUCGAAGUCACCUACCUAGCCAAGGCCACCAUUAUCAUGGUCAAGGCCAUCGACAUUAUUAUGACCAAAGACAUAAGGGGAUUAACACACCUUCCAGAAAACUGAGGCAAAGCGCCCUCCCCCUUUGUCAAUGUGUACCAAAAGAAAAACUUGGUAACAAGAAAGAGACAAAAUAAACACCAGGAAGAAUAGAGGAAAAUAAAGUUGCAUAUAUUUACAUUUAUAAGUCACAACGGGUCAUCCCAGCUUACACCCGGCCAAGGCCGAUGAGAAAGGAUAGAAAGAACAAAAAAAAAUGAAGCUAGCCAUACGACAACGAAAACAAAGACAUAACAAAUCCUUUUCACUCAGCGCCACCCGCACCACCAUCAGCAUCACCAACGCCUUCAGCGCCAUCAUCAACCCCUGGCAUAGCUGGAUCAAAUGCGCAGUCACACGGGCCUCACGAGCCUUUUGACGGGCUUCUUCAAAAGAGGCUUCAGGCACAAUGCCGGACUCCCACAAUAUCUUGUAUACAUCAAGUUGGGCCUCGGUAAACGUCCAAAGAUCAUGAGCCGGGACGAAAGAGGCAGCCUGAUCCCUCAAGCGCUGAUUCUCGACCUCUAAGGCCGUAAUUCGAUCCGCCGUAGUCUGGGCGUCCCGUUUAUAAAUACCAAUGCGAUCCUCUAGCGCCCCCUCUCGAAAGGCCGCAAUAGCCCUCUCUAGCUCACGUUCCCUUUCACGAAUGCGAUCCACCUCUCCAACGUCCCAACCGGCGACAAGGCAUCCCUUGCUUCCAGUCAAGGUAAUGGCCUCGCCCUCCAAAGAAACCACCUGCCUGGUCAAGGUCUCACAGGCCUCUGCCGCCCCUAACCCAAUCCUGGCAUUCCCUCUCAAUAGCAGCCCUCCUCUCGGCCUCUAUCGCCUCGUCUGUAUGACGAAGCUGCUCCUUAAGGGUGUUAACCCUGCAGAGGGUCUGCUGCAUUUGAAGUUCUCGCCUCGCCAACUCUUCGACAAGGUCCCGACUCCAGGGGUCGUUCCUCAGGUGCUCACACAUCCUGCGGCAUGGAUACCAAUAGCGGAGGCACUUCCCCAACGCCCGUGAAUAGUUCCCUGAGCGAACGUUAGCUCGGCGGAUGCUCUCCACCUCCAACAAAAAUAACUACAAGAACAAAGCGACAAUCAGAACAGAAAAAUAGACUAAGUAAAAAAAGGACAAACUAAGGUCACUGCACGUACCUUCAGGUCCUGCACGACCACUUCACCCAUCAGCCCGAUGUCCGUUAUGCCCCUCAGCGACGUACUUUCCACCUCCGAGCACAACACCUCGAACAACGGCACCAAGUUCUCCUCUUGAAGCAGCAAGUUCUGCUUCGUAGGAAUCUCAAAAUAACAGAACCGCCCUUCCGCUUGCACAAUUGUGCGGGUGAGGAAUUCUUGAAGCAUACAGAUGUCGUCAUGGUCUAUGUCGGACUCGGAGUCAGACUCUUCGCCUACGACGCCCCUUCCUCCUUCCGCAGACUGAGAAGUUGAGACUCCUGCCCCCACCAACAUAUUGGUACUUGUUUCUUAACAAAACCAUUUGUUGAGGAACUACCUCCCCUCUCAGCAACUGGAACUGCCCGAGCCAACCAGGGCAACCCCCUUUAUGUGCCCUCCCUCAAGGGAAGGUGCCUCCACCACAUUCCCCGCGUUCGAUUGCGGGGAAUCCAAGUUUAUCACUACCGGAGCUGGCGUAAAUGCAACUCUUCGCCUGACCAGCGGCCUCUCCCCCUCCUCCUCAUCCUCGCUCAGAGGCGACUCCACCCUAGGGCGUAUGAUCCCCGAAGAGUCUUCGGCCUAAGAUGUAGACCAUGCUGGGGAAUGAGCCGCUGAAGAUUCAACUGAAGUCGCCCUCGGAACUGGAAGUGGCGCCGGCAUUUUCACGAGUUGUGCGGACGUGCCCGGCCUGCAAAAAGCUAGCUGAGGGGCCCUCAUGCGGCGUGCCCUCCGUAUGAAAGAAAGAACGAAGUUGAGAAGAUGCCAAAUAGAAUAAAACAAGAACGGGACAAAAGGAAGCUAAAAUUCUCACCAGAAGCAGGUCUACGACCAUGCCUUUCCCAGAAAGACGGCCACGUACUAAUCCUGGUCGUUUGAGGGAGCACAACCUCUACCCAUUCUUGAAUGCCGGGUAGUGGAGCCAACGGUGGCCGUUCAGCUAGAAACAUGAGGCAAAGUUAACACUUAUAAAAACCAGGCAUGAGAAAAGACAGUAAGUAGAAUUUGACAAAUAAAUGACUUACAUGCAUGGGUCCAAGUCUCUGGAACUCAGUAGCACACGCCACCAAAUGCUUGGUCCUGAUGUAGAAGAAAUUCUCAUAAGUGGUAGAAUCGACCACAUCAUCUAACUUUUAGCAGUCAAGCCCCUCGCCCCACAAGGAACCGCCCGACUCAUAGUACCACGGACCCUCUGAGGGGCUUAGAGAGUCAGCACGUGCCGCAAUGUGAUCUCCCUUAGGGCCAGUUCCGCAUAUUUAAUGAGCAUAGCGAAAAGCUUGAAGAGGGAGGGAAUGAGAUGACCAGGGCACACCCUAUAAUAACAGCAGAAGUCCACCACCAACAUCGGAAUAGGGACCAGAAUCCCAAUGUAAAAGGAUAAGCGUAGAAAACACAAUACCCUUUACGGUCGAAGUGGACCCUCUCCUCGCGUUUAGCGAGGGGAAUAUCAGUGAAGCGGGGAAUGCCCCAGUGUUCCCGUAAUCGUAGGGCUUCAUUUACCUGAUCUUUCCCCUCAUAGGCGGUGAAAUCAAUCGUCGGACCUCCGGGCAAUGUGAGGAUAUCGAUCACCGACGGAAUCAUAUCAAGUUCUUCCGAUCCAGUGACUCUCACUGCUGUAGAUGACCCUUCAGCCACCGGAAUAGUUGCCGGAGCAAGGGUGGUGCGGGAGCUGCAUGCCAUUAUUGAUUGAUAAACGAGAAAAGAAUAAGAUUCACAGAAAUAAAAGCAAAGAUGGUGUCGAACGAAGAAGAACGAAGAACAAGAAAGACGAUGAACUGAUAAAUAGGAAGCUUCUUUAGAAAUCUUAGACAAAAGAUGGAAACAUAAGAGAUGAAUAACACAAACCCUUAUUUAUAGAUAACACAAGUGGCUUUCUUGAAUUCCAAUAUCCAUCAUUAACUACUUGACCAACCGCAAAGCGGUUAAGUUCUACAGAAACUUGUGUCAUUAUGACGAGCACCACGAAACAACUUUUCAAUUGCCAACUGAUGCUCUGCCUUUGAAACGGUUAUAACGACCUUAGAUUAUUGAAAAGACUUUCCGUACGUCCUCAAACUUCAGGCAUAGCAGAGCAGCGUGCUAGGCGCGCCCAUAUUUUCUUCGGUCGCGCGACAUACUACUCGAUCGCCGAAAAUAAGGUUAACACCUUACAAGGCCGAAGGCCGUCUGUAUGAAGAUAUCUCCUCGGAUGAAAAAUGUUACGACCAUUCCCCAUAUACAAACGGCUACGGCCAUUCCAAACGCAUACACGGCAACGACCAUCUCCCAUGAAUGAACAGUUAAUACCUUCAACGAAAUACAACUAAGGUCACCGAGUUGACUCCAUUGCGGCUAAGGCCGUCAACACAAAAGGUCUAAGGCCAUCGAUUUUAACGAUACAACUUUCAAUGAUAACCGGCCAUGGCCACCUUCGGUCCCGACCAAGGUAGUAGGCGAUAGUGUCCGCUCAUCAAGCUCGGCCAGGGCAUGACCUCAAUAAGCGGAGGGACUAACUGUAUAGGCCAAAAUUUGACCCCCCAACAAUUAUCGGUAUUAAUUAUUUCAAAGCCAAAGUGUAAAUUACAAGUGGUGUGACCACUUGUAAUCAUUAAUAAUUUGUGGGUACGGGACGUUAUGAGGGAGGCUACGACAUGUCUAUCAUCCCACGAGCCAUAUAUCAGGGUGGUCAUGCCCACUUAUCGCCAGCUCAUUCAAUUUACACCUAUAAAUACUAAGAGAAGAACCCUAAAGGGGGCUGCUUCUUCUUCUUCACCACUACUCCCAAGAAAAGGGGAACACGCAACAAUACCCCUACGAGGGUCAUAAAUAAUGCCAUUGUAAGGUGCAGAACCUCUCUACGAGAGGCAGACCAAACUAAUAUCAUCAAUAAAAAGCUCUUCACAUAUUUCUCCUUAAUUCCAAAAGCUUGCCUUUCUUUUCUUUCGUUUGGUCUCUUGAUUUAUUACGAUCUGCUAUAAUUGGCCCUCAAUUUAUCAUGAUUGUUUUACGCUUAUAAAUUGUGUGAGAACUUUGCGCUAAACAAUAGCUUUUUAGGGUUUUUUAAAUUUUUGAAAAAUUUCAAAAUUUAUAUUCUAAUGAAACUUAAAAAUUUUAUGGCCAAAUACUGAUUUCGAAAUUAUAUUAAUGUCCAAAAACUUGUGUACCAAUGAGUAUGAUUUCUUAUUUCCAUGGCCAAACUAGGUAAAUUAGUAAAAGUGAACAGAACUUUAACUUAAACGCGGGUGCAAAAAAUCUCAGUCAGCUUGUUGGGAUGGCUGUUACGUAUCGUUUCAUAAUGUAUCGUAUCGUAAUAUAUUAUAUUGAACUAUAUCGUUUGAUAAAUAUAAUAUUUGGAUAAAUUGUAUCGUUUGCUAUUGUUUCAUGAUAUCAUACCAGCAAUAUAAAAAAUAAACUUGUAAUAUUAUAAAGAAAAAUUAUAAUACAGAGUAAAAUUAUUAUAUAAAAAGGAAGGAUAAAUGAUAAAAUAAAAUUAUUUUAUAAUAACGAAGAGUGAGAUUGAGAGAAAAAAAUAAGUAACGACGCGAUCACAUCAAAUCGAUCGUUACAUAAAGUGACACAUUCGUCAUUAUGUAACGACAAAUUUAACGAUACGAUACAAUAAAAUUUAAGUAACAAUCAAAACAAAUAUCAUAUUUAAUGUAAUAGUACGAUACAAUACAAUGGGUAACAACCAUCUAAAUAAGCUGUAAAGGAGAGAGAAAAAACUUCUAUCUUAAAUAUUGUAUCGAUCUAAAAAAUAAAGAGAAAUUGGAGAUAAUUCAUUAAAAAAUUGCAUAUGGAUUUUUCUUUAAAAGUAAUAAAUAUUGAAAAAGGAAAAAUGAACUUGGUCCUUUUUAAAUCAUCCACCUGGCUGAAAAUAUGAUUCCUACUUACAUGCUUAUAAUAAAAGAAAAAUAAAAAAUAAAAAAUAAAAAAUAAAAAAGAACAAGAGUCCUAACGCGAUCUCUACGCCUUUUCACAACAACAACUACUAGCAUACUCCCAUCAGGUAGGGUCUGAGGAGAGUAAUAUGUAGACAAGCCUUACCCCUACCCGAAAGGACAGAAAACCUGUUUCCAAUCGAACCCCGGCUCAUAGGAUAAAAGGAAAAAUAGCAGUAAAAUAAAAACAAAGACAAAAACAAAAACAAAAAUAAUAGAGCACUGUACCCAUUAUUAUUAUUAUUAUUAUUAUUAUUAUUAUUAUUAUGCACCCCGGGCUGGACUCUACUGAAUCUCCUCAUUUUUACUGCUCAAAAAGUUGAAUGAGGGAACUUCCCAAUUCUGAUCUUUAACUAAUUACUUCUACUUCUAACCUACUCCAUGAUUCAUCCUCACUUUAAAAAAUCUAUCUUUUUCUUUUUCAAAAUAGAGUGCAUUUAUAGCAGAGUAUGUGUAGGCUGCUGCUUUCUGUUCUCUUCUAAUCUUUAAAAAACCUUAGCUUCAGAUCUCUCACUUGUCUACUGAGGACUGAGGGGAGCUCCUCUGCUUUCUUGGUAAUGAACUAAAGUUUUGAUCUUUUUAUAAUUUUACUGUUUUUGUAUUUUGCUGCAAUGGUUUUGGUUUUCUGUGUAGCAGUGAUCCAAACUUUAUUGUUUCAAUUUCUUGUUAUUUGAUGAAGUUUUCAUCUUUUUGGUGUACCCUUUUGUUUUCUUUAACUCUGUGGAUCAAUGAGUAUGAUUUUCUUUUGAAUAUUCCGAGAUCUGUAUUUGUGGUUUCUUGUUUCGGAGAAUUCAGUUCAUUAUUAAAGUAUGUUAAUUGCUUGAUGCACUCUCUGCUUUAUGUUGUUAGAUUUGCUCUUUUACCAUUUUUCUUAAAAUGUCCCAUAUAAGUUUCAACUUACCGAUCUCUAGCCAAUAUUCCAAAAAUAGAAACAAACAAGGAAUUGUUUUAAUGGGUAUAGUGGAAAUUCAUUGAAAACAUAUAAAUAAGUCAAUAUACAAAAUUUGAGUAAGAUUGGAGUUGAUUUGGACUGUUUUUGUAUCAAAAUUCAUAAUUAAAUCGAUGUCAAAAAAUUCUUCUGUGACAUAUGUAUCAAACAUGUAUCACGCAUGUAUCUCACACACAGAUAUACAUGUGAUACACAAUCGAUACAAUAUGAUACAUAUGUGUGUUUCUUGUUUCAGAGAAUUCAGUUCAGUAUUAAAGUAUGUUAAUUGCUUGAUGCACUCUCUGCUUUAUGUUGUUAGAUUUGCUCUUUUUACCAUUUUUCUUAAUGCUUUUCAAGCAGAAGUCAGAAUUAUGGUGAUUUAGUCUUUAUUGAGUUCUUUGAUAAGAUGUUAACUUCAUUGUGAAUAUUAGUCCCAGGGCAGCUGUUACAUGAAGCAAGUGAUAGGUUAAAGAAGAUUUGUCUUGUAGUAUGAAGACACUUAGUUCUUGUUAUUCGAUAAAGUUUUCAUCUUUUGUGUUUAUCCUUUUGUUUUCUUUAACUUUGUAGAUCAAUGUACAUGAUUUUCUUUGAAAAGGUUUACUUAAUGUUUAAAAAGAUCUGAGACUGGUGAUUUCUUAUUUCAGACUUCACUGAAUUUAGUUAGUUAUUUGAAUCUGUUAAUCACUUGAUGCACUUACUAUUUUGUCUCCUAAAUUAUUAGCAAGCAGAUCUUUUUGUUAAAUUUGCAGUCAGUUUUAUGGUAAUGUUAGUAAAUUUUCUCGUUUCUUUAAUGAAAUCUUGAUAUCAGUGUGGAUAGUUAUCUCAUGUUUGGUUGGGAUAAAAUCGUGGUAUAACUCAUCUCGGGAUUAGUUGUCCCGGGAUUAUUGUAUUUUUUUUAUUCCUUUAGGAGAGUGGAAUAACUAAUCCCAAGAUAAUUAAUGCCAGGAUAAUUAAUUAUGGGAUUACUUGUUUCUCAACCAAACGACCCCUAAGAAGGAGGUUAAAGAAGCAUUUGUGUUCUAAAAUAAAGAUUAAAUCUUGAAUAUUUGUAAAAAUAAAACUAUAAUGAAUUCCUCCUUUUGUGCAAUUAGAUUUUAUUAGGUUUCUUUGAGUUUGCUUCCCUUGAGUAUUUCCAACGAGCUGUUACUAUUCGACUGUCAAGAGCCAAUGAGUUGCCUGUGUCAUGAACCUUAGUGGAUGUGAAGCUACUGUUCCUCUUGGCUUGAGAUGAUUAUAUGAAACUUCCUUUUAGAAGAAAAGUAUCUUUUGUAUCCUGGAAAUUGCUCGAAAUUCUAACUUCUUUAUGCUACAGGGAACUUCUGGUGCUGCCGCAAGCACAUAAUGGCAUCCAAGUAUCAUGCAUCAAGCAACAGAACACGACGACCAAUCUCUAUAUUGAUUGUAAUUGGCCUUUGCUGUUUCUUUUAUCUAAUAGGAGUUUGGCAGAAGAGUGGGUCCGGUAAGGGAGAUAAGUUAGCACUAGCAGUGACCGAGCAAACUGCUGACUGCAAUAUCUUUCCGCCAUCCACUCUGGAUUUUGAAUCACACCAUAAUUAUGUGGAAAUGAUUGAAUCUUCAGAACCAAAAACUAAAGUAUACAAGUCAUGUGAUGCUAAAUACACUGACUAUACUCCCUGCCAAGAACAAGAUCGAGCUAUGACGUUCCCACGGGAAAAUAUGAUAUAUAGAGAAAGGCAUUGUCCUCCAGAUGAUGAAAAGCUUCGUUGUUUGAUUCUAGCACCCAAAGGAUACACAACUCCAUUUCCAUGGCCGAAAAGCCGUGAUUAUGCGUACUAUGCUAAUGUUCCUUACAAACACUUGACAGUUGAGAAGGCAGUCCAGAACUGGGUACAGUUUCAGGGAAACGUUUUCAAAUUUCCAGGAGGAGGUACAAUGUUUCCUAAGGGAGCAGAUGCAUAUAUUGAUGAACUUGCAUCUGUGAUUCCAAUUAAAAGUGGCAUGAUAAGAACUGCUCUUGACACUGGUUGUGGGGUGUGUUUUCUCUUCCUUUUUUCCUACUUUCCCUUAAAAGUUUUACUAGUAAUUCCAUUAAGAAAGCUAUAUCCAUGAUGCUGAUUAUCUUUGGGGGUUGUCUUUUAUAUAGCGAAAGAGGAGAAUUUACCUUAUUCGUGUUAAACAAGUUCUUGUCGAUGAGCAAAACUGCAUUACUAAGACCGCUGUGUUCUUUAAUGGUAACACAUAUUUUAAAACCUCUAUUAACAAAUGGAUACUUGACUAGUUCAUGUUUACCUGUGACAGUGCUAUUUAUAGUGGUUAUGCUAUUGAAAGCUUAAAUGGGAUAUUAAUCACUGCGGCCAUUGUAUUGACUAUCAAAAUACUUCCCAUUUACCUGGGAGAAUACCUUAUUUCCUUUAAAGUUGCUUGGAACAAUACUAUUCCAAUUGAUUUAAUAACAGUGAAGCUUUGAAAAUUUGGAGUCUACUGUAACUCACAGGUAAUAAAAUAAGUAGUCUGUCGCUGUCCUUCACCAUCUUUGGUAAACCUUGGAAAAUCUUGGUUUCAGGGUUUAAAAAUUCAUAAAUUUAUAAAUAGUCAGUCUCACUUGGAAAAGGCAACAUUAUGGAAAAGGAGUAUAUGCAUGUUCUUCUCAUGCUGUUGUUGAGUCUUUCCCUGUUUUUAAGUAAUCACAUUCUCCAGGAAAAUGGUUUGUCCUGCAUUAUUGCUUGUAAUUAUCCAUCAAAUAUCAUGCUUUUUUGAAGUAUCGAUAAUAGACAACUUAUUGCAUUCACAUCAUAUGAUAGGUUGCAAGCUGGGGUGCUUACUUGCUGAAGAGAAAUAUUCUGGCGAUGUCAUUUGCACCUAAGGACAAUCAUGAAGCACAAGUGCAAUUUGCAUUGGAGCGAGGUGUGCCUGCUGUUAUUGGAGUGUUUGGUUCCAUACACCUUCCAUACCCAUCAAGAGCAUUUGACAUGUCUCAUUGUUCUCGCUGUCUCAUUCCCUGGGCAUCAAAUGGUAAUAUGUGCAAGAUAUAGUUUAACAAGCUUACUGAAUUUUCUGAUAUAGGACUUCUUUUUAUCUUCUUUAUCUAUCUUAUUAGAUGGGCUUAAGAUCUGUGGAACCUUUUGGAAACAUAAAAUAGGAAACAGUACUUAUCAAAAAAGGAAAAAUUGGAGACAAGGUAUAGGUGCUGAUAAGUGUUUUAAAAGGCGGGGGCGUAAGGCGAGGCGUUUUGCAUAUGCCUCAGCAAGGCGUAAACCCCAAGGAGCGUGGCGUAAGCCCCAUGGGUAUUUAAUUUUUAAUAUUUUAUAAAAUAAUAUAAUUAUAAAAAAUAAAAAUAGACUUUAAAUAAGUAUAUAUAUAUAUAUAUAUAUAUAUAUAUAUAUAUAUCCCAUAUUAUCUAAUGAAAUUAGAUAGAAGACCCAAAUAAAGUGAAAUUACAUAUACAUGUCAAAUAAUUAUAUAUAUAAGUGAAAUCCCACAUUAUCUAAUGAAAUUUUAAAUCUCAAAUAAAUAAGUAAAAUUAUAUAAUCAAUAAUUAUAUAUAAAUCUAAUCAAUACAUAUAAAAGCACGCAUACAUAUAAUCCCAUAUUAUAUUUUAAAAGAGAGCAAGAGAAGUACUGAACUUAAAAAACUAAUUACAUACAUAUUUACAAACUAACAGUGAAAUGUAGAAAGAGAGAAAAGUAAUGAGUUCAAAAUAAUAAAAUUUUUACGUGGAGGAAGGAACAAACCUGUUGAAGUUGACAUACGGAGAAGAAUGAAGUUUUUUGUUGUAAAAAAAGUGAUAAAUCGUUGCUCUUCGUAAAGGCAAACUAGCGGAAAGAAUUAUGAAAGACUUCUAAUUUAGGGCUUUUAGCAAUAUUAAAAAGUUUACUUCUAAAUUUAAUAUUUUUAAUUUCUUUUUAAAAAGAUGUCUCUUAGGCUUACGUCUCAACCAAAAAACUCGCCUGGGUGUACGCCUCGAACUUCUGGGUGUACGCCUUAUGGGACUUUCGCCCCCAGGAUCGCCCCGGGGCGUUUUUGGUACGCCUUGCCCCAGGACUUACCCCAAGAACACCUUUUAAAACACUGGUGCUGCUGAUGACUCUGAAAAUAUGCACUGAUCGCCAUAGGGCAGAUAAGCCUUUGUCCGCUAACUCUAAAGUAUCAUCAUCUUUGUGUGUAUUGAUGCAACUGUUUAUCUAUUAAAAAGAAAAGCAUUAGCCUUCUAAGCUUUUAAAAGAGAAGCUUUGAUACUGCUGCGAAGUUUUGGACUGUAUUAUUUGGUGUAAUAUAUUUCAUUCAUUACACAAAUGAUAUCAGAGUCUUUGGGUGUGAAUCACACUUAAAUUGGAGGACAUUUUAUGUUUGUAACUAGUAUUGAUAAAUUUUUGGUUCCUAUACGCUAUAGAUAAAAUGUGGAAAUGUUAUAUCUUAGAAUGCAUGAAUUAUUGAAUUAUUAGUUCCAAUUUGUAAGUGUUUAGAGAGGAAUAAACAAACAACAAAAGCCCAGUUUGAUCCCAUAAAUGGGGUCGGGGGAGGGUAGUGUGUACGCAGACCAUACUCCUACCUCAUAGAGAUAGAGAGGCUGUUUCCGAUAGACCUUUGGCUCAAGGAACCAGAGGGGAAUAAACACACAGAUAAAAUGACAGCUACUUGCAAGAUCCAAUUUAAGACCUCAACCUGCUUUGUUACAUAAAUGAUAAAUGCAAAUGUGGAAUUAACCAUUUUAAAGGAUCGUCGUGGAUAAAUACUACACAAGUUAGUGAUAAUUAAUAACCUUUCUUAAAUUCUCACCUUCAUUAAGUGUUUUUCACAUUGUACUUGCCCUUUGUAUUGAUCUUCAAGUGCUUUACGGAGCAUUGGGAGCUCUAAUAACAACACCUUCGGAAAGGAGACGUCUAAUACCAUUGGAACUUCCAAAUAGGAGAAAUACAUAUGUGUACUGGAGAUCGAGUCAUAGGGAAAAAGGUUUGACAGAGAUUUGGAUUUGGAUUUGAAAUGAGCCUAUAGCAUAAUAGAUUUCCAUUUGAACGGUAAAAUCCUCUGUGUAAGAGGAAAGAUCCUUGUUCGAAUCAUGUGAUGAAUAAAAUAUGUGCUGUAUGUUAAUAAUUCUAAGUAGUGAUUUGUGACUUUAGCUUAUCCUGAGAAAAUUAAAAUUGCCAGUGAUGACUUUAACUUUCAUUGGUGAAUUUUCUAGCUUGCUAAUAGUUGGCUUGUAUGUGCAGAGGGUAUGUACAUGAUGGAAGUCGAUCGAGUUUUGAGACCUGGUGGAUACUGGAUACUCUCUGGUCCUCCACUUAAUUGGAAGAUCUAUCACAAAGUCUGGAACAGGACAAUUGCGGAUGUGAAAGCUGAGCAAAAGAGGAUUGAAGAUUUUGCUGAGCUUCUUUGCUGGGAGAAGAAAUAUGAAAAAGGUGAUGUAGCUAUAUGGAGGAAAAAAAUUAAUGGAAAAUCAUGCAGCAGAAGGAAAUCUACCAAAAUAUGUCAAACAAAGGAUACUGAUAAUGUCUGGUGAGUUAAUAUAGCCCUACUUGUCAAAUUACUUUUAUUUUCACUCCAGAGUCCUUCUUCAUUUGUCACCAAAAAUAUUGAAUGCUAGAUUGGUCCCAUCAUGUAAGUACUAAUUUUUGUUUAUCUUUCUACUUUGUAUAAAAUGGUGAUUCAGGUAUAAAAAAAUGGACGCAUGCAUAACCCCCUACCCUGACGUCCAGAGUUCUGAUGUAGUAGCUGGAGGGGAAUUGAAGAAGUUUCCAGCUAGGCUUUUUGCAGUUCCGCCACGUGUAGCCAAUGAAAUGGUUCCUGGGGUGACAAUUGAGUCUUAUCAAGAGGAUAAUAAGCUUUGGAAGAAACACGUCGCUUCUUACAAGAGGAUCGUUAGUCUACUUGGCACCACAAGAUACCACAACAUAAUGGACAUGAAUGCUGGACUUGGAGGAUUUGCUGCAGCACUAGACUCUCCUAAACUGUGGGUGAUGAAUGUUGUGCCAACUAUUGCUGAAAACACCCUUGGUGUCGUAUAUGAGAGGGGGUUGAUUGGCAUAUACCAUGAUUGGUACGUAGCACUAAUGGUUUCUUAUCAACUAAUUCUUUUUGCAAAUGGUAAAGAAUUUUGCUGGUUUACUUAGGUGGGCAUUCAACCUAUCCGCCUAACCCAAUUUUCAAUAACUCGAAAAACUUUCUUCCCUUUUAUUUACUGAAAACCUAUAGGAUAUAGGAUUGAAAUGAAACUUUCACAAUCUACUGUUACUUACAUGUUUGAAUGGAGAUCCUGUCUAUUGUCAUUCUUCUGUUGCUGUUUUACACUGUUAGUCGAGAAUAUUGUCCUGAAACUUGGAUUAAUUUUGAUUUUCUUCUCCUUUCAGGUGUGAAGGCUUCUCUACCUACCCAAGGACAUAUGAUCUCCUUCAUGCUAAUCGCUUGUUCACUUUGUACCAGGACAAGUAAGCGUUCUUAAACUCUUCUUUAAGGAAAUGGAUUUAUGCUCUGAUUCCUAUAUAUUUGAAUGGGAUCUCUGGCUAUCUAUUAAAUCAGAUAUAUAUUAUGUAGAAGAGAACAAAAUUUAAAAAAGAUAUACUGAUUCUCAAAGCUAUAUGACUGUAAACAGGUGUGAAUUUGAAGAUAUUCUUCUAGAAAUGGACCGUGUUCUGCGGCCAGAAGGGUCGGUCAUUCUUCGAGAUGGAGUUGAAGUACUGAACAAGGUUAGGAAAAUUGCUGCAGGCCUGAGAUGGGAAACUAAAUUAGUAGAUCAUGAAGAUGGACCCUUGGUACCUGAGAAAAUAUUUAUUGCUGUCAAACAAUAUCAUGUUGAAGGUGAUGAUGACCAGAACACGCAAAACGAUGAAUGAAUCGUGCCAAUAUUGGAUCAACCUGUCAAUUUUAAAGUGGAAGGUAAGAUUUCCAGGCAGAGACAUGAAGGGUUUUUUUCUCAAAGAUGGCAAUACAGCAAUAGUGCAAGUUUUCAUGUAGAGCAAUUUUAGCUAUUUUUUUCCUUUGAUGUGUGAUUUUGGAGAUGUGGUGAAAAGCAAAGAUCCCUUUCUCCAAAUAAUGAAGCAAAGCAAGAUAUCAGUAGUCAUAUCUUUGUUUUAGAGCAUCUUGUUUAGUUGUUUCCUGUAGCUGUAAAAUUGAAUACUGCAACAUUUACAACCUUAUUUUUAUCUUGGCAAUUUAAUUUAUUUAAACUUUUAGUCAAAGGACCACCAAAGUGUGUAUUCCUUGUGGGUAUUUGCAACAUAUAUAUGAUCAUUCCUUGUGGGUAUUUCUAGUAUAUUUUAUAAGAAAAUCUUCUGCAGACCACAUAAAACCAACAAUGCUUGUUUCCAGAUUUAACCACAAGUAAAUAAAUAUAUAAUCAGAAGUUCAUAUGGUUUAUUGAGCUUUUCUAUCUUGUACACUAUAAUAAGUAUUCUUGUCAAAUCUAGAAUUAUUAGUACCGACAGCCAUUUGUGACAAAAGCAAUUAUUCAGGCUGAAAUUAUAAUGCCACUAAAAUUAACUUUUUCAAGAAGGAUUACUACAGUACUUGCACGAUACCUUAAAGGUUCGAGAAAGAAAAAAGAAGAAGAAGAAGAUGCAAUUCAACCCUAUAUUCUUACUUAUACUCGUAGUCUACAACAACACAUAUUUUACCCUACCCCGAAGGAGUAAAGAGUUUGUUUUCGGGAGAUCCUCGGUUCAAAAGGCGAACAAAGAUAAUAGAUCAUUACUAACAGCAACACUAUGAAAACGGGAAAAUAAUGUGAACACAACAUACGCCACUAGCAGAUUACGACAAAACACUAUCGGUCUAGCCUCACCACCGACAUAAAGAAGAAAAACGCUCGACUACCCCUACACUUCAACCCAAAUGCUCGACCUCCAUACUUUUCUAUCAAGAGCCAUGUCCUCAGAGAUCUGAAGUCUCGCCAUGUCCUGCCUGAUCACCUCGCCCCAAUACUUCUUAAGCCACCAUCUACCUCUUCUUAUGCCUGCCAAAAUCAACCGCUUACACCUCAUGAUCGGGACAUCAAUGCUUCUCCUAUGCACAUGCCCAAACCAUUUGAGCCUCGAUUCCCUUGUCUUUUCGUCCAAAGGAGUCACGCAUACCUUCGAAUAAUCUCAUUCCUAAUCCUACCCAGUCUAGUGUGCAUGGACAUUCAUCUCAUCAUCCUCAUUUUUCAUUUUUGCUAAUUCUAAUAUCUGAAUAUGCGACUUCUUAACUGUCCAACACUCAGAACUUACCUUUAAUUUUUGGUGACACCUUCUUAUCACAUAUGACUCCACCACCCCUACUCGAUGCAUGACAUCCUCGUCUAUCUCCCUACCCCCUGGAUAAUUGGCCCAAGGUACCUGAAACUUCCUUUCUUGGGGAUGAUUUGUGAGUCAAGCCUCACAUUCAUGUUCUCUUCCCCCGUCACGUUGUUGAUCUUGCACUCCAGGUAUUCUGUCUUAGCCCUACUCAACUUGAAACUUUUAGACUCAAGAGCCCGUCUCCAAUCUCUCGCUAACGCCGUCUCGCGUCUAAUCAAUCAAAACGAUAUCAUCAUCAAACAACAUACACCAUAGCACCUCCCCUUGAAUAUGGCGUAUUAGAGCGUCCAUCGCCAGGGUGCAGAUCCUUGGUGUAACCCCAUAACAACUGGAAAAUGCUCCGAGUAACCUCCCACAGUCCUAACCUGAGUCUUUGCUCCAUCAUACGUCUUUUAUCACCCUAAUAUAUGCUAUCGGCAUACCUUUUACCUCCAGGCAUUUCCAAAGAACCUCCUUAGGAACCUUGUCAUACGCUUUCCUCCUUAGGAACCUUGUCACACGCUUUUUCUAGUCAGUACGUAUGACCUAGAGAAGUUAUGCUUUCCCUAAUGUAUACUAAAGGUGUUAAUCGGGCCGAGCUAACCCGCUAACAACCUGGUUCAACCCGGUCCAGCCCGUAAAUGGAGCAAAAUUUUCGGGUUGGGACGGGUUGGACGGGGGGCGAGCUAGUAACGUCUAACAUUUUUUAAAUGGGGAACCGAACCCGCUACAACCCGAUAUGCUUUAACGGGCCACAGUCCGGUUCAGCCUGUUAACCCGUUACUUGUUUAUUUUAUUUUAUUUUUUUUACCGUUGCCAACAGUCAAAUACCAAAAAGGAUCGUUAGCCAACGACCAUUUCUGCCAAAAACAACCACAUUUGGACUUUUUAUUUAUAUUUUAGUGCCUCACUCCUUAUAGGAUUUUAAUAAAAAAAAAUCUGGAGCCUGACCCGCCCGAGCCUGCUAAGCCCGAACCCGUACGGACCCUAUAGGACCCGAAAAAUUUCAGCCCGCCACCAGCCCGUUAAUCCCAACCCAAUAACAACUUGCCCCGAAACCGAACGAGCUGAUAUUUUGUGUCCAGCCCGCCCGAUUAACACCUUAUUGUAUACUCGGAGUCUCAGUCUCGUUUUUAGCCCUUUAUAAAAGAAGUUACACCUUUCCUUUUAUCUUAUGUAUAUUGUUGGUUUGCAGCAAAUAUCGAAUGCAGGUAAAUAUCUUCAAAUAUGGAAUAAUUAAACCGAAAAUCUUGCACGUUGAAGAAUUUCAGUGAUAUAUUUGUGCGAGAAUUUGUGGAGUAAAUUCAGUUAGUACAUCAAUUAUCACAGCUCAAAACUAUGUGCUAUUAAAAUCUAUGUAGAUGUAACUACCCAACCAACUCCACCAAAGGGUGUAGCAGAAAUCAAUAGAUCAUCAAUUAAAAGAAUACCUUUUGGAAGACCUAAAUGUUGUACCUUAUGCUAAGAAUUAAUGCUCAUAUGUUGGCUAGCAAAAAGGUUUCAUCCUUUCUACUCUAAGUGAUAGACAACAUGACAACUUUACCCACCUAAUACUUUAUUAGGAAAUUUGCCCCUUUUUCAGCUUAUGAUAUCGUUUGAAAAAAAGAAAAUUUCAAUUUCACUAAUUACCAUUGCCUUAUAGCACAUGUAUUGCUUAUAAUCCAUUAAUGAGUUUUCGAACCCUAAACUUGUUUAUAUAUGUACUCUCUUGUGUAGAAGCGGACAUAAGAUUCGAAGGUUGCAACUCAGGGGUGUACUUUUGCACGCAACAAAAACCUGCUUAGUAUAAAAUGUGCCACUAGUAAUAUAUUACUAUUUUCUAAAAAUAUAUAUAUGUAUAUAUAAAUUUUUCGCCGAACUUUUUGUAUACCGGUGACCCCUUUAUCUAUAGCAUAGGUCCACCUCUACUGGUGUGAGCCAGGGUGCGCCCAUAAUAUAGGACGUCUAGCGUGCGAUGGGCGUGCGAAUGACGCCCAUCGCACAAUGACAUGAUCUUGGUAUAGUUUAAUGAUUGUAAUUUUCACUCGGCAUUAUUAGAUGAGGGGUUCAUAUCCUACCAUAAACUAUUUUCAUUUGUUUUUUCAACAUCAGAGACAACCACCUAAACAAGUUAGAAAGAGAAAACUAUAAAAAAAGAAAUGCUAAUAUCUCAGUACGACAAGAUAAUGGUUAGUCUAAGUGAUACUAAAAGAUAUUGAAAAUUAGACCAUAGAUUUUCAUGUCCAUGGAUUUAUUUCCACUUAUAAUUAGAUUAUACCUACUAUAUGCUUCCUUUUCUAUUUUCCUGUCUGCUAUCACGAUGGUUUUAAUGUUUUAUUGAAGUCCUUUUUUAAGUCUAACUCUACCAAGUCUCGAGUGGUUACAUUCAAUUAAGGUAGCUUAUGUUUCAUUUCUAUGUCGCAAUUAUGCUAUGUUCAACUUUUUGGGCGUUACAUGUGUUUGGUACGAAGGAAAUUAUGUCACGAUCCAAAAUUCACUAAGGACUGUGGUGACGCCGGACACCGCUGUCAGGCCAACCAACUCAAAUACAAAAUUAAAUCUCAUUUUAUCACUUUUGAAAUACAAGAUUUUUCCUUCAUUAUUAAGAAAUAGUAAGAAAUACAGUUUCAAAUCAAAUUAAAAAGUUAAGCAAUUAACACAAUACUUUAAACCAUCCCAGAACCCGGUGUCACAAGUGCAUGAGCAUCUACUGAUAAGAAAAAUAAAAUACAACAUCCGCCCGGAAUACAAUGGACGAAAAGUAAAUACAGUACAAAAGAAGGGACUACUCUAGGUGCGACCGUCUCUAAUGAUGCAACUCAUCUAGUCCCAGAAUCAUCCAUGCUGCUAUGCCUAGCAGACCACUGGAGCCACAUAUACCUGUGCAACAAAAUGCACAGCAAGUGUAGUAUGAGUACAAAAACAACGUGUACCUAAUGAGUGUCCCGCCUAAUCCCGAAGGGUAAGAGACGAGAAGGUCAACUUUUACACUUUCUAAUAGUCCAAUGAUUAUUUAUCCUUAACAUAUAUAUCAAACCGUGGUUUAUAUUAAAAACAUGAUUUUUAAUCCAGAUAAAGGAAACCAAUAAUCACAUAAUUCUUUCAUAGGAAAGUUUUCGAAAUUCCUUUUCAUUAUUAACAAUAUCAUUUUGACCAGAGUGAGGCAUGUAACAACUUAAACAAGUUCUCAGGCAGCAAUACAAGCAUGCGCAAAUCACACCGAGACGACGGCCCGAUUCAACAUAAAUAAAUGUGCACUUUCCGAGGGUCGACGAUGCGCCUAUAGAUGCAUCUAUUAAUCUGCCAGGCGGCGGCCUGUUCCAAAAUAAACACACACAAACAGACAAUUAGUCAAGAAGUCAACAUGGAGCAAAUAUCCAAGAAAGACCAAUUCUCUUUAAUAAUUUGAUAAAACAAAGCUUAAGUCUUUUUAAAAAUCCAUUUAUUAAUUUAAUGUGAUUCAAGCUAUUCAAGUCAUCAAUGAGUUCACAAUUUAUCCAAGUAUAACAUGCUUUUGGGUCCUAGACUACCUGGACAAUAACAUAAUAUUAGCUUCGCACGGACUCUUGUCACCUCGUGCGUACGUAGCCCCCACAAUUAGGAGCACAUAAUCAAUUUAACUCACCUAUGGGGUAGAUUCCCUCUCACAAGAUUAGAAAGGAGACUCACCUCGCUCCGAAGAUCCACGACCGACAUUCUACAUUCUUUCGAAGACUUGCACAAACACACAAUACUCCAAAAUUAGCCAACGAUCAUACGAAUCCAUUAAUAUAUGCUCAAUUAUACUAUACAACCCAAUUUAUAACAAUUUCUAACCCCUAACGAAAAGUUAACAAAAAUACCCUCGGGCCCACGUGCCCGUAAUCCAAAAUUUCUCGAAGAUAAAAUUUACCCAUGAACUCACGAACUCAAAUAUAUGAUUUUCUCUUAAUUCCUUACUAAAAAUUGUGGUCAAAAUUCAAGAACACUAAUUUUCUAGGUCUUCCCUCAAACCCCAAGUUUUUCUAUCAUACUCAAAAUCGUGGCUAAAAUCCAAGAAUUUUGUUUUUCUAGGUUAUCGACCAAAACCUCCAUAUUUGCUCUAAUUUUCAUGCUUAAAUCCAUAUAUAAUUGAUAUAUUCAACUCAAAAGUGCUAGGGGUAACUUACCUUAACAUUGACGACAAAAUCCUCUCUUGAAUCUCCCCAAAAAUCGGCAAGGCCAUGAAGAAAUGGGAGAAAUGAACUAAAUCCCACGAUUUAAAACAAGGUUCUUCUUCCAGUCAUUUCUGCUUCUGCGGAAGCCAUGCCGCAUCAGCGGUUCCGCUUAUGCGUCCCGAAGGCCGCUUCUGCGGCUCCUUCCUAUGCCGCCCUUACUCACUUCUGCGAUGCCUUUUUUCUGCGGAAUUUUGACCGCAUCUGCGGUGCUCAAGCUUUGGACCGAAAACCGCUUUUGCGGCUCCCAUUUGCUUCCGCGGUGCCGCUUCUGUUGUCAACCAACCGCAGAAGCCAAAAUACCAGCAACCAGAUGCCUUCAGCCCUCUUCCAAAUUCCAACUUCGAUCCGUUAAGCAUCCGGAAUCCACCCGAGGCUCCCGGGACCUCAACCAAUCAUACCAACCAAUCCCAACACACAUUAUGGACUUGCUCGAAUUUCCAACUUCUCUUUUCGAUGUUUAAACCUAUAAAAUCAUGUACGAUUGACCUCAAAUUUUGCAUAGUAGUAAUAUUUGGCAUUACGGGCCUACUCCAACUUCCGGAAUCAUAUUCCGACCCUGAUAUUAAAAAGUCACUUUUGGUCAAACUUCUCAAAAACCUUCAAAUUUCUAUCUUUAGCCAAACGACUUCAAAAUGACUUACAAACCUCCGAAUUCAUUUCCGAUCGUGCUCCCAAAUUCAGAAUCACCAUAUGGAGCUACUCCUAGUCUCGGAAUCCCAAACAGACAUCGAUAACGCUGAAAUGAACUUCCACAAUAUGCGCUAAAAUGCUACCGGGUUAUCCAAAACCCAAACUAGGCAUACGCCCAAAUCCGAUAUUAUCAUACAAACCUGCUGGAACAUUCAGAUCCCGAUUCCGAGAUCGUUUACUCAAAAAUCCAAUCCUAGUUCAUUCUUUCAACUUUAAGCUUCCGAAAUGAGAAUUCUUUUCCCAAAUCAACUCUGAACUUUCCGAAAUUCAAUUCCGACCACGCAUACAAGUCAUAACACCUGAAAUGAAACUGCUCAUGGCCUCAGACUGCUGAACGACGCGCUAGGUCUCAAAAUGAUCGGUAGGGUCGUUACAUUCUCUCCCACUUAAACAUACGUUCGUCCUUGAACGUGCUGAGAACUAUACCGAAGUAGUCCGAAAUCACUGUUUAGCACCUUAUGCACCUACCCGUGCUACCACAACUUAGCUGAGCACAUUAGCUCGAUAAAUUCCGAAGAUACUCCCUUUAUUCAAGCAAAUAAGCCUUAGAGCCCAAUUCCAACAUCCGGAAUUCUAUGCCAGGCCUAUUUUCACCAUAAGAUUACCAAAUCAUUCACCAAACUUUGUACCCAACGUCACUGCGUACUUUGCUGAAUUCACACUUUGCAUCACUUUACUCAUAGGACCACAAUAACAUUUUUCUAUCAACUUAGCCAAAAUUCAAUGAAUCAGAUGCACCAAUUGCACCUCAUGACCUACAUUGGUCUUGCUCUAACUUUUAUAACACUAACAUGAUGGAAGAAAUGCGCCGAAAUUCAUAACCAAUUGCUGAAUCAACAAAUCAUUGAGUCUAUGCCUCUGACAAGAACCAUUACCAUAUUCUGAACCAAAUAAUGACCUCUGCUCUUUAAUAUACUUCAUAUACAUAGAUUGCACUGAUCCUAAAUCUCAUAAUCCCGUCUCACCCAGUACGAACUGCUCAGGCAAUGAGCCAUUCCAAAUGCAAUCAAAAGUCUCAUAUGACACAACAAUAUGCCAAAAGGCCACCAAUCGGAACACAACAUAAACAAGAAUUCAAACUCUGGAAGAAUUAUCUAACCUCCGCACUAAUACAGACUUUCCUUAAAAUAUAGGAAGCGAAGCACAAAAAAAAUAGCAUAUAGGAACCCAGACUUGACAUUACACUAUUGCGGCGCGCAACCCGAUUCAGUAACAUACCCAUGACGACAUGCCACCCGAUCCACACAUAAAUCUCACAUAAGGAGAUUGCACUUCGAGCUAAAUCUGCUCAUUACACUAAAAUUAUCGAAUUUUGAUCGCAAGCACGCUAAGUGCAUAAUACCAUCCCUGAGAAAACACAUAGCACUAUAGCCUACAAAACUCAAGCACAACUGAGGUGCGAUACAAGAUCUGAAUCUCAAGAGCCAUUCUGCUCACAUAACAUCAUCUCCACGUGGAACCUCCACACAUACGAAUUUACGAAGCCAUCUCACAAUUCAUAUGGCGCAAUACACCAUUACCAGGAAUAGCUGAUGAUAAAAUAACACCCCUACUGUUCCUCCAUAGGGAACGCUCGCUGAAACGAAAACAACUAGCAUGAUAUAAAGCCCUGUUCACAUAUAAAUAAAUCCACUGAUCUCAAGUUGAUUUUUUAUUGCACCAACCUGGGUAAUAACCUUUCAAAGGUCCAUGGUAACUUAUUCUUCCUCAUAACACAUAAGGACAACCAUAAUAACCGGAGAAACCUCCUCCGUUCAUAACCUAAUGUACAAAGUGCCCUCCAAGCCUAAAUUCUCAAAUUAAUAAUAUUACCACAAUCCUCAUACUUGGUUCAAAUCUUUAGUUAAUAAAAUGACUACAUGCCAUACUUAUACAACCUUCCCGUGGGAAACGCUCACAAAAUCUUCCAAAAUAAAUGAUGGGCCGCACAUCUAAACCACCGGACGCACUAACGCUGAAAAGCGAUCAAGAAUCCUUAUCCAUGAUGCAAAGCCUCUUUCACAACACAUCGAUCUCAGGUGAUGCUGAAGACAAUACCAAUUUACUCUAAUCAUUCAACCCGUUUCCUUGCUCAUCCGAGCCCGUGACAUCCUUGUCCUUGCUUCACAUUUCAAUACCUAUUGAACCCCUUUCUUGCUCAUCCGAGCCCGUGACAUCCUUGUCAACACCGAACUGCAACCUUGAUCCUCGCUUCACAUUUCCAUACCUAUCACCGUACCCAACGUGGCAAUAUACGAUAAGACACGAUUUUCAUCAUAAUUUCAAAAUCAUUAAUAUUUUAACACUUCAUCACAUAAGAACUUUUCACUUAACUUACUUCAGGAGAAUCAUAGCAACACAUGAGCAACUUCCCAUAACCGUAGGAUAUACAAAUCUCUAAGUAGUGGUCCAAGACACCAUAUUCUUUCCGGAAUCCGCCUAUACUUAACAAGCCAUAAUAGAAGAAUGAUCCUGAAUAACUUCAAUUACGGCGACCGACAAGCCUCACACGUACCACCAGAAAUCAUACACAUAACCUGAUCACGCGGGCCGAACUGAUCACUGAACCUAAUAUGCCAAUUCAACUAUGGCUAAUCAAUUUACCUUCUCCCAAUUCGUCCUUGCUUGCCUUAGAAAUUAGACUAACUCCAUUCAACACAUAACAUACUCCAUCUACACUCGCCCCGAAUGACCUUGAAGCACGAGACCAGGCUGUCUCGAUUCCCACAAACCAUUUCGUAUAACUCAAAUGCUACACCCCGAGUCAAAAUAUCAUAAAACAUUAUGGGCACCCUCUCAUAAGCUGCUACAAAGCUUGAUUCUCAUCUGUACCCAUAUGCUUGAAAUUAUUGAGCACCACACUUAAACUCCUGAAUUCACUAGGACCAUUAUUGAGAGCCACCCGCUCUGUCUUGGUCCCUAAUAUAACUCACUCUAUAGAUCUUAUAACACACGAACACUCUCUCCACGAAGCACUCGACAAAAUCACUUCCUCUGAAACCUGCAUCUAUACGAGGCAUAAAUCCUAAACUUUUUUCCAAGUCCGAACAUGAGCCAAUAGGGCCAACCAUAGCAUGCCUCCAACAAUUCAUUUGCUCGAAUUACCACUUAUGGUCUUUUCUCAUAGCUGAAAUAACCAAUCAAUAUGCUAAUAGCCAAAAAUCACGCAAGUAGCUAAUCAUACGACCCAAUGACAUAACCUUGCGCCCGACCUCUUUAACUCUCAAUGACGUAACCUUGUGCCAUAAAUUAUCAAAAUUUCCCGAAAUCUUCCUAUAUAUCCUCAUCUUUCAUAUUCUGAAUUAUCAUCCACAUUCGCACGACCGAUCUCUUAAUUGAACAACCAAUAUGGUUCUUUGCAGAAGCUUCGCCAACCACGGGAUUGCUAACCCGCUCACGGGGAAUAAUCCCCCUAGGGAAAUCACCUCCCAACAUCUUCCCACGCCGUUGUAUGGGGUAAAUUCACUUUGACACUAAUAGCCCAUCCUGAGUCGGAGCUCACCUUCCAGUUGCACAAGUCCAUUCGCCUCUCGCGAACAUCGAUUAAAUGUGCGGCAACAUCCUUCCAAUUCGGGGUUAUGAUGCACCCUCCUCCAUUUCAAGUAGCUCCUUCCCGUCAUAUCAAUCUUUUGCCGCAUAAUAACCCAUAUUUUACGUCAUACCCGCAUGCUUCAAUCACUAAUCAUUAAAAUCCCUAAUUCGAUCCAAACUCUCUUUAAGGUGCGUAGUCUUCCUACUACCAAGCCCAUAUGCAACCCCCGCCACUCUCCCACUUUGGCGGAACUCAUCUCCUUAAUCGGUCACUCGACCUUGCUUCUCAUACUAGGCAUUCUAGAUAUUUUAAACAUCGUGUGACACUUCCCACGUGUCCUUCCUCAUACUUUGCUGCUCAAUUAUUUCCUUAAAUGAAAUCUAUCUUCGUGGCACUUGAAUCCACCAUUGCUGCUAACUUUAGAACCUUUCCAAAGGCCAUCUUUAUCGAUCCGUCAACAUUAGAAAUUCUGAUUCAAUCUUAAACCACCGCACCAUGCGAUAUCUGACAGUUGAAUCUCCAAUACUAUUACACAACAUCUUUCCAUAAAGGCGAAUUGUAGCAGAUUAUAACAUCGGCACUUAGUACGUUCAAUCAGAACCACGUAACCCCAUCAUAGAAGAAAAGCUCCACCACGCUUGCAAAUACCAAGUCUCAUUACUUUCACCAGCCCAUAUCUGACCAUUCUUAGUCCGACUGCGUUUCCCUUGCGGAGAAUAAAAUACUGAAUCCCUUGAUUAUACGGUGAGUACAUCUUCUCCGAUUCAUUCACUGCCCCGACACAUGGGAAAAUAUCCUACCAUCACAACAACGCUGCGGUUCGCUCAUAAGAAUCAUGGCACCCUGUGCCUAGCCUCAAGGCUCUAAGAAGUUCUGUAUAUGAGCUAGAACAAUAGAAAAUCCUUCCAUAAAGCGACCAUAAUAGUCCAAUCAACUAUACUGGGCGAAUUAUCCCGCACCACAUUUAUAGUGCCAUUUCAAUUCUUCAAAUUCUAGACUUCUAACAAUCGCUCGCAUCGCAUAAGAUUUAGUAGGAACGAAUCAAAGACUAAGCCUCAAAGGGAUCGAACCGCACGAUAAGGAAAUCAAGAAGGGAAGUACUCCUAACAGCCCUGUAGCCUUCCGAUAAGUAGAUACAUCUCCGUACCGAUCCACGAGACUCUACUAGACUUGCUCGUGACUCGUGAGACCGACAAUAACCUAGUGCUCUGAUACCAUGUUGUCACGAUCCAAAAUCCACUAAGGGUCGUGGUGGCGCCGGACACCACUGUUAGGCCAGCCAACUCUAAUGCGAAAUUAAAUCUCGUUUUAUCACUUUUGAAAUACAGGAUUAUUCCUUCAUUAUUUAGAAAUUUUAAGAAAUAUAGUUUCAAAUAAAAUUUAGAAGUUUAAGCAAUUAACACAAUACUUUAAACUAUCCCAGAACCCGAUGUCACAAGUGCAUGAGCAUCUACUGAUAAGAGAAAUAAAAUACAACAUCUGCCCGGAAUACAAUGGACGGAAAGUAAAUACAGUACAAAGGAAGGGAAUACUCUAGCUGCGACCGUCUCGAAUGAUGCAACUCACCUAGUCCCAGAUUCAUCCACACUGAUAUGCCUAACAGACCACUUGUGCCACAUAUACUUGUGCAACAAAAUGCAUAACAAGUGUAGUAUGAAUACAAAAAUAACAUCCACCCAGUGAGUGUCCCGCCUAAUCCCGAAGGGUUAAAGACAAAUAGGUCAACUCUGAUACUUUUUAAUAGUCUAAUGAUUAUUUAUCCUUAACAUAUGUAUCAAACCGUGGAUUUAUAUUAAAAACAUGAUUUUUAAUCCAGAUAAAGGAAACCAGUAUCACAUAAUUCUUCAUAGGAAAGUUUUUGAAAUUCCUAUUCAUUAUUAACAAUAUGAUUUUGAGCCAGAGUGAGGCAUGUAACAACUUAAAGAAGUUCUAAGGCAGCAAUACAAGCAUGCGCAAAUCAUACCGAGGCGACGACCCGAUCCAACAGAAAUAAAUGUGCACUUACCGAGGGUCGACAACACGCCUAUUGAUGCAUCUAUUGAUCUGCCGAGGCGUUCGGCCCAUUCCAAAGUAAACACACACAGAUAGACAAUCAGUCAAGAAGUCAACAUGGAGCAAAUAUCCAAGAAAGGCCUAUUCUCUUUAAUAAUUUGAGAAAACAAAGCUUAAGUCUUUUUAGAAAUCCAUUUAUUAAUUUAAUGUGAUUCAAGCAAUUCAAUCCAUCAAUGGGUUCAUAAUACAUCCAAGUAUAACAUGCUUUUGGGUCCUAGACUACCCGGACAAUUGCAUAAUAGUAGCUAUGCACGGACUCUCGUCACCUCGUGCGUAUGUAGCCCCCACAAUUAGGAGCACAUAAUCAAUUUAACUCACCUAUGAGGUAGCUUCACCCUCACAAGAUUAGAAAGGAGACUCACCUCGCUCUGAAGAUCCACGACCGGCAUUCUACAUUCUCCCGAAGACUUGCACCAAUGCACAAUGCUCCAAAACUAGCCAACGAUCAUACAAAUCCAUUAAUAUAUGCUCAAUUAUACUUUAUAACCAAAUUUAUUACAAUUUCUAACCCCUAAUGAAAAGUUAACAAAAAUGCCCUCGGGCCCACGAGCCCGAAAUCCAAAAUUUCUCGAAGAUAAAAUUUACCCAUGAACUCAAAUAUAUGAUUUUCUCUUAAUUCCAUACUCAAAAUCGUGGCUAAAAUGCAAGAUUUUGAUUUUUCUAGGUUAUCGACCAAAACCUCCAUAUUUGCUCUAAUUUUCAUGCUUUAAUCCAUAUAUAAGUGAUAUAUUCAACUCAAAAGUGAUAGGGGUAACUUAGCUAACAUUGACGAUAAAAUCCUCUCUUGAAGCUCCCCAAAAAUCGCCCAAGCCAUGAAGAAAUGGGAGAAAUGAACCAAAUCCCACGAUUUAAAACAAGGUUCUGCCUCCAGCGCUUUCCGCUUUUGCGGUCCAGGGACCGCUCCUGCUGUCCCGCUUUUGCGGAAUAAAUCCCACGAUUUAAAACAUGGUUCUGCCUCCAGUCAUUUCCGCUUCUGCAGAAGCCAUGCCGCAUCAGCGGUUCCACUUAUGCAGCCCAAAGGCCGCUUCUGCGGCUCCUUCCCAUGUCGCCCUUACUCGCUUCUGCGAUGCCCUUUCCAAUGAUGCGGUUCCGCUUCUGCAAAAUUUUGACCGCAUCUACGGUCCUCAAGCUUUGGACCAAAAAAUGCUUCUGCGGCUCCCCGUUUGCUUCUGCGGUGCCGCUUUUGCGGUCAACCAAACGCGGAAGCGAAAAUACCAGCAACCAGAUGCCUUCAACCCUCUUCCAAAUUCCAAUUUCGAUCUGUUAACCACCUAUAAUCCACCCGAGGCCCCUGGGACCUCAACCAAUUAUACCAACCAAUCCCAACACAUAUUACAGAUUAUCUCGAGGCCUCACAUCACACCAAACAAUGCCAAAAUCAUCAAUCGACCUCCAAUCCAAGCUUUAUGAACCUUGAAAUUUCCAUCUUCUAUUUUCGAUGUUUAAACCUAUCAAAUCAUGUCCGAUUGACCUCAAAUUUUGCACACAAGUCAUAUUUGACAUUAUGGACAUACUCCAACUUCCGAAAUCAGAUUCCGACCCCGAUAUCAAAAAUUUCACUUCAGGUCAAACUUUUCAAAAACUUUAAAUUUCUAUCUUUAGCCAAACAGCUUCAAAAUGACUUACAGACCUCCGAUUUUAUUACUGAUCGCGCUCCAAACUUUAGAAUCACCACAAGGAGCUAUUCCCGGUCUUGGAAUCCCAAACGGACAUCGAUAACGCUGAAAUGCACUUCAAGCCAAAUUUAAGAAAUUUCUUCCAAAAUGCUAACUUCCACAAUAGGCGCCAAAACGCUCCCGGUUAUCUAAAACCUGAACUGGCAUACACCUAAGUCCUAAAUCAUCAUACAAACCCUUGGGACCUUCAGAUCCCGAUUCCGAGAUUGUUUACUUGGGUUAUCCAAUACCCAAACCGGGUAUACGCCCAGGUCCGAUAUCAUCAUACGAACCUGCUGAAACCUUCAGAUCCCGAUUCCGAGGUCGUUUAAUCCAAUCCUAGUUCAUUCUUUCAACUUUAUGCUUCUGAAAUGAGAAUUCUCUUCCCAAAUCAACUCCGAACUUUCCGUAAUUCAAUUCCGACCACGCGUACAAGUCAUAACACCUAAAAAGAAGCUGCUCAUGGCCACAGACCGCUGAACAAUGUAUUAGGGCUCAAAACGACCGAUUGAGUCGUUAUAAAUUAUUUACAGAUUAUUUUUUUUUGGGAAAAAAGGGGGAGAUUUGAUGGUCUUUGAUUCUCAAAAAAUAUUUUUUAAUGAAAGAAAAUAUCUUCUACCAAAAUUGGAAAAUGACUUCCCACACUUUUGAAGGCAAGUCAUUUUUCGCCGCUAUCUCAAUUCUUAACUUUGGCUUGAAGUGCAUUUCAGCGUUAUCGAUGUCCGUUUGGGAUUCCGAGACCGGGAAUAGCUCCUUGUGGUGAUUCUAAAGUUGGGAGCGCGAUCAGUAAUAAAAUCGGAGGUCUGUAAGUCAUUUUAAAGCUGUUUGGCUAAAGAUAGAAAUUUAAAGUUUUUGAAAAGAAAAUAUCUUCUACCAAAAUUGGAAAAUGACUUCCCACACUUUUGAAGGCAAGUCAUUUUUCGCCGCUAUCUCAAUUCUUAACUUUGGCUUGAAGUGCAUUUCAGCGUUAUCGAUGUCCGUUUGGGAUUCCGAGACCGGGAAUAGCUCCUUGUGGUGAUUCUAAAGUUGGGAGCGCGAUCAGUAAUAAAAUCGGAGGUCUGUAAGUCAUUUUAAAGCUGUUUGGCUAAAGAUAGAAAUUUAAAGUUUUUGAAAAGAAAAUAUCUUCUACCAAAAUUGGAAAAUGACUUCCCACACUUUUGAAGGCAAGUCAUUUUUCGCCGCUAUCUCAAUUCUUAACUUCAAAUAAAAUUUUCAAUCAACACUUAGACAUUAUUAUCAAUAUUCAAUAUACAAAAAAUUAAUGAAAAUUAAGCUCUAUCCUAACAUAUUUUAUCAAUCUUUAAUAAAUUUUUUGCCAAAAAGUAUUUUUUAUUCUCCAAUCAAAUACUAGAAAAAUAUUUUCGAGGAAAAAAAUUUCUAGAAACAUACCAAAAGAACUCUGUUUCCUGAAAAAGUUGAGCUUAACAUUUUAAUUUCAUUGUAAUAUUCAACUAUUUCUUCUCUGCAUACAGUGAAUCAACAAAAUAUCAAUUGAAAGUAUUUUCCUAAUGAAGAAUCACUCUGUUUAACAUAUUAAGUUAAGAUGCUUAACGAGUUUGAAAGAUUCACUAAAAGGAGCAGAGAAAAAGGUGGUCAAUUAAAAUCUAUUUUAUUUUCAUUUUUCGGCUGUCGAAAUUGCUCGAUAAUAAAUUAGACUACUAGUUGAAAAGGUUGUACUUUAUCGUUAGUCGUAGGAAGUUCUACUUUAAAUCCUUCCAAAAUUAAGGAGUAGAAGGUAAACAUUUUAAUAUGUUGUGGAUUUCUUAGCUUUGGUAUUUAUUUUUAGAAGACAUAAAAUUAUAAUCUAUAUUUACAUAUCUAUAUUUAUCUAUCUAUACUAUAUUAAAGAGAAAACUACCCUCUAUAACCUCUCAAAAUUUUAAGGGAUUUUUACCUUCCUAUAUCACAUAUGAAACCCUAUUACCCUUAAUGUUUAAGAUUUGACUUAAUUACAUUUCAGUAUGUCAAAUUACCAUUUAUAUACCAUAAUUUAAAUCCGGAAUAUAAUUAAGGGUGUAUUUAUAUUAGGCAUAAUUAUAGGAUCGUAUCUUCCCACUUCCCCCCUCCUCACGUUUUACUUUUACCCGUAACCUUAUCCCCUCCCCUCCCCCACGUUUCUGUUUUGAAUUCCACCAUUGACCCCAAUUAAAAAGCUUUGAAUUCAAAUAUGAGUUUUCAAAAAUCAUUAUUUGUUUUGAUUAAGUGUUGUUGUACAUAAUCCGGAAUAUGUUUAGAAUUUAUAUUUUUGCAGAAGCUUUAAUCGUUUUAGAUUUGUGAAAACAGAAAAUAAUGCAUUUACAAUCAGAAUACAAAUAAUCUACUUGGUUAUGGCUGAAUUUAAGAAGAAGAAGAAAAAGAAGAAGAAGGAAGAAGAGGACGAAGAAGAGGAAGAGGAAGAGGAAGAGGAAGAGGAAGUGGAAGAAGAAGGAAGAAGAGGACGAGGAAGAGGAAGAAGACGAGGAAGGAAGAAGAAGAAGAGGAAGAGGAAGGAAGAAGAGGAAGUGGAAGAGGAAGAGUAAGGAAGAAGAGGAAGAGGAAGGAAGAAGAAGAAGAGGAAGAGGAAGAGGAAGGAAGAAGAAGAAGAGGAAGAGGGAGGAAGGAAGAAGAAGAAGAGGAAGAAGAUGAGGAAGAGGAAGGAAGAAGAAGAAGAAGAAGAAGAAGAAGGAAUAAGAAGAAGAAGAAGAAGAAGAAGAGGAAGAGGAAGAGGAAGAGGAAGGAAGAUGAAUGUCACGAUCCGAAUUUUUCCCACCAUCAGGAGUCGUGACAAGUUGGUAUCAGAGGCGAUAGAUGGAACCUCUACGCUGGAGUCGCGAACAUACGCCAAAUAUGCUAGACACCCCUUCUCGACCAUACGUCGAGCCUUGACAUACGAAAUAACACUACAUGUGGCAUGAUCUGGGGUCCCUCUCCACUCAAGUCGGAUCAAAUCUGGCAAGGCCAAAGUCACGGUCUUGGUGUGAUAAUCCAAGAUAGCAUGAUACGGAGACAACCAGUCCAUCCCCAAUAUAACAUCAAAAUCCACCAUGUCUAAAAGCAAUAAGUCGGCACGGGUCUCAAGACCCUCAAAUACCACCACAUAAGAACGAUGCACUCGAUCGAACACCAUAGAAUCACCAACCGUUGUGGACACAUAUACAUGAAUACCUAAAGCCUCACUAGGCAUGAUCAAAUAGGAUGCAAAAUAGGAUGACACUUAAGAAUAAGUAGACCCCGGAUCAAAUAAUACUGAAGCACCCCUAUCACAGACCAAUAUAGUUCCGGUAAUCACACAUCAGAUGACUCGGCCUCCGACCUGGCUGGCAAUGCAUAACAACGGGGCUGGCCCCCACUGAAAUGCAUCUCUGGGACGCUCUGCUGCGGGCUGACCCCUGCCCCUUGCUAUCUGAGCUCCACCUCUACGCUCCCUACCUCCACCUCUAUGGCCUCUACCCCCACCUCUAGCUGGCUGGGCGGCCUGUGGAUCAUCUGCUGCCUGAAUCAUGUGACGAGGACCCAGCUGCUGUGAACUUCUGGAAGCUCGAGGGCAAUACUUGGAAAUGUGUCUCGGGUCACCAUAAGUGAAGCAAGCUCUCGGCUGCUGAGAAUACCGAAGUGGUGGUGCACUGAUAGGAUAUGAUGGUGAGCUGAAGAGCUGCUGGUCAUAAUACUGUGGCUAAGAGCUAUGAUCACCUGGAGCACAAUGUGAAGCCCGGAGUGCUGACUGGAAAGGUCCCGAGGGAUGGCCUCUGUCAUGGAAAUCCCUACCUCCAGAUGAGGUACCACUAAGUCUGCCAGAAUGUCGAGGCGCUGAAUCAGUCCAUCAAUGAACCUACGAACUCUCUCUCGAUCUAUAAGGAUUAUCACUACUGCAUGGCGUGCCAAGUCAACAAAUCUGGUCUCAUACUGUGUGACUGUCAUAGAGCCCUGCCUAAGGCGCUCAAACUGUCUGCGAAGUGCCUCCCGCUGAGUGACGGGGAGAAAUUUCUCCAAAAAUAACUCUUCAAACUAAUCUCAUGUCAAAGCUGGUGACCCUAUUGGUCUAGAUAAACAGAAAUCCCUCCACCAAGUCUUGGCAGACCCUACAAGCUUGAAAGUACAAAAACAACCCCAUUGGUCUCUACUAUCCCAUAGUCCUGAGGAUCUCAUGACAAUGAAGAAUAAGAAGAAGAAGAGGAAGAAGAAGAAGAAGAAGAAGAAGAGGAAGAAGAGAAAGAAGAGGAAGAAGAGGAGGAAGAGGAAGAAGAGGAGGGAAAGGGAGAGGAAGAAGAGGAAGAGGAAGAGGAAGAGGAAGAAGAAGAAGAGGAAGAGGAAGAGGAAGAUGAAGAGGAAGAGAAGGAAGAGGAAGAGGAAGAAAAGGAAGAUGAAGAUGAAGAUGAAGAGAAAGAGGAAGAAGAAGAGGAACAGGAAGAAGAAGAAGAAGAAGAGAAUAAUAAUAAUAAUAAUAAUAAUAAUAAUAAUAAUAAUAAUAAUAAUAAUAAUAAUAAUAAUAAUAAUAAUGACAACGACAACAACAACAAAAUAUGGGCCCGUAUUAGUUGUUAUGAUAUAAAUCUCAAAAAUCGACCUCGGGCUCACUUAGUCAAAAUACGAGGUUCGGACUAAAAUCAAAUUACCCAUUCAUCCACGAGCCCAAAUAUAUAAAGUCUAAAGGAAGUGGAAGAGGAAGAGGAAGGAAGAAAAGGAAGAGGAGGAGGAAGGAAGUAGAGGAAGAGGAAGAGGAAGAAGAAGGAAGAAGAGGAAGAAGAGGAAGAGGAAGAGGAAUAGGAAGAGGAAGGAAGAAGAAGAAGAGGAAGAAGAAGGAGAAGAAGAAGAGGAAAAAGAAGAAGAAGAGGAAGAAGAAGAAGAAGAAGAAGAAGAAGAAGAAGAAGAAGAAGAAGAAUAAGAAGAAGGAGAAGGAGAAGAAGAAUAAGAAUAUGAAGGAUAAGAAGAAGCAGAAGAAGAUGAAGAAGGAAAAGAAGAAGAAGGAGAAGAAGGAGAAGAAGAAGGAGGAGGAGGAGGACAGGAGGAGAAGGAGAAGAAGGAGAAGAAGAAGAAGAAGGAGGAUAAGGAGAAGAGAGGAGAGGCAGGAGGAGAAGGAGGAGGAGGAGGGGGAGAAGAAGAAGAAGGAUGAGAAGAAGGAGAAAAAGAAGAAGGAGAAGAAGAAGGAGGAGAAAUAGGAGAAAGAGGAGAAGAAAGAAGAAGAAGAAGAAGAAGAAGAAGAAGAAGAAGAAGAAGAAGAAGAACAAGAAGAAGAAGNNNNNNNNNNNNNNNNNNNNNNNNNNNNNNNNNNNNNNNNNNNNNNNNNNNNNNNNNNNNNNNNNNNNNNNGAAGAAGAAGAAGAAGAAGAAGAAGAAGAAGAAGAAGAAGAAGACAUAUUUCCAGAAUUUGUAGAUAAAUUGUAGUCAAAUUAGAAAAAUUGUGGACUGUUUUUUACAGAAGAUUUUGUAGAAGCUUUAGUCGUUUUAGAUUUGUGAAAACAAAAAACAAUGCAUCUACAAUCAGAAUACAAAUAAUCUAUAAUUUAUCUGCAAGAUAUCUACAAACUGGAUACAUUGAAUUUUAAUAUGCCAAUUCUCAUUUCAAUUGUAGCAUAAUUAGCAUUUUUUACAUAAUUAUAAAAGAUUUGUAGAAGUUUUAGUCUUACUAAUCUACAAUUUAUCUACAAUUUCUGGAAAUAUUUCUUCUUCUUUUUCUUCUUCGAGUUUCAAUCUGAAAUUCAGUCAAAACCAAGUCUAAUUUUCACCAAAACCACUCAAAAUUGAGAUAUAAACUCCAAACCAUAUUCCCAGUUAUUCCCAAUUAUUUAAAUUUAAAGCUUUCAAGCUUUUUAAUGGCUAUCAAUGGUGAAAAAUAUAUGGAAGAAAAGAUGAAGAUGAAGAUGAAGAAUAGAAAUCUCCUUUCUGUUUCAAAAUUACGCAGCUUCCAAAUCACGUUUCCGUUUCAAAUUUUGAAUUUAAUGUAGAAUAAAUCAAUCCUAGAUUCUGUGGCUGAUUUUUCACGCCCUAAAAAUGGCAGUUUUAGCCUAACUAACGAAUGGUAUAUAAAUUGUAGGUAAACUGUGGACUGGACAGGUAAUAUACAUAAUGCACAUAUUUGGUAAUAAGGUUUCAUAUAUGGUAUAGUUAGGAAAAAGUCCCAAAUUUUAAUAACCUAUGUUUUUUACCACUUGCAGAAAAUGGCCAUUCGACCCAAUAUAUUGCAUAUAGUAGCCGAAAGGAAUGAGUAAUACAACACAAGUACUUGUAGCUCAGUGGAUAUAGCAUCUGUCUCCAAGCUAAAUGUCGCAGGUUUGACCCUCCCUGCGCGAUAGAGCAUCCUUUUUUGCCUUUUUAAAUUGUUAUUUUGUACUUUUGGAUCUAUAAGUAUUAGCUAAGAAUUAAAUGAAAUAUAUAAUGCAGGUCAUAUACGAAAUGUCUAUUAUAUAUAUAUAUAUAUAUAUACAAAUAUAUACAUAUAUAUAUAUAUAUAUAUUUAUUUGUAUAAUAACAGUCUAUUUUUGUAUAUUUUUUUGCAUAAUGAUAGUUUUGUAUAUUUUUUAUAUAGUAACAGACUAUUUUGUAUAGUGAUAGUCUAUUUUGUAUAGUGAGAGCUAAUUGUAUAUAAAUUGUACAGUUAUAGUCUAUUUAAUAUAUUUUUAUACAGUGAUAGUGUAUUUUGUAGAUAUUUUGUAUAAUGACUGUCUAUAUAGUAUAUUUUUUGUAUAAUGACAUUCUAUUUUUGUACAUAUUUUGUAUAGUGGCAAUCUAUUUGUUUGUAAUUGUCUAGUGACAGUCUGUUUUAUAUAUUUUUUGUAUAGGGACAGUCUAUUUAAUAUAUAUAUUAUAUAGUGACAGUCUAAUUUGUAUAUAUUUUGUAUUGUGACGGUCUAUUGAUAUAAAUUAUACAAUGACAGUUUGUUUUAUAUAUUUUGUAUAGUGAUAAAUAACAAUAAGGAUAUACAGAGUAUUACUUUGAAGAUGACCACUGCUUUCAUUUAGCCAAUUAGGAGUCAAUAAUAACAAAAAUUAUUUUGUUAUUCUGAAAAUUGUAUGGAAAAAUUAGAAUUAUGUGUAUAUCAUGGUACUUUUAAAAAAAAA
This 52126-nucleotide long non-coding RNA is filed under the name Nicotiana benthamiana. RNAcentral describes it as "long non-coding RNA (NBEN_LNC031496)". The record is from RNAcentral. Lineage: Eukaryota; Viridiplantae; Streptophyta; Magnoliopsida; Solanales; Solanaceae.